CCAGAGUCUGCUGUUCUCAGGGUGGCUUCACCCAGGACGCCGUCCAUUCUACAUACAGUCUAUGGAUAAGACCGGGAAGUAUGUAUUUUUUUUGUCUCAUGUGAAUAUACUUUGUUUCUUGGGGCUUUAUUUUAUGUAUACAAUGUUAAUAUGAUUCUUUUGUGUAUUUAUAUGUUCAGGAUGACCACUUCAAACAAACUUGAGCACGUGAGGAAAAAAUGUCACCUCGGGUCCUCUCAGUAGAGCGGGUCCUCGCAGUGGAGGUUUGAAGCCAGACCCCUCUCCCUUGCAUCUGCUGUGUAUGUGGUCAUGUAAAUGGGGACCCAUGUUCAGGUAAGCCUGAAAACAUGCACCUGAAUCUCUAACCCUUAGGCCAAGAUUUGCAAAUGCUGGAUCUAGUAGUUCUUUAGUUCGUUUGUUUUCUAAUUCCCUGCUAAUAGGUAAAUAAAGGACUUGUCAAACACUCAGGAUUUGUGGCUCUUUAUCAGAUUUAUUAUGACAAAGACUCAGCACUGCUUAGAUUAGAGGGAUUUCAUUUUGGGGGCACAACGUAGGGAGGGAGGAACAGUUUAUUUUUCUCAGAAGUACUCUAAACUCUGACUUACCAUUACCAGAUGGCCAAAGUAAAAAAGGCGUGAGACUUUACUUUCACGGAAAGCAGUUAUAAUAUUUCCAGCACAAUUUGGUCUAGUUUUGGUCAAAUCAGGGAAACUAAAAACACCUAAUGUGAUUAAGAGGUUCAUCCUGAUGACUGCAAAUACAAUCAUCUGAUUAAUUAUCUGAUGUCAGGGGACCAUACAAUCAUGAAAUCAUUCAAGUCAAAUCUGCUGAUGUUACCUAUCAUUGUCAGGACUUGCUGUAUACAACAAGUAUUAAUAUCUGACAACGAUCAGCUGACCAGCACUUAUUCCUGCUGCCCAUUUGUGCUCAUUUCUAGUGCCUGCUCAUAUUUUUAUCCAUAUUUUCUUCCUUUUUCUGUCUCUUUGAUUGUAUGCCUGAGGAAUGUGUAUUUUUGAAAAUGGAUGUCAGCAAGAGGGACGUCUGGAUUUAAUAGAGAUUCAUUACUUUGAUUGAUGCUGCAAGAAUCUGCCACUCUCUGCAGACAUUAGAAGAUUCAGCUACAUGCUUUAUGGUUUAUAAAAACCUCAAAGGAAACCUCAAGUCCCUUUGUAGAACUCCCUGGCGCUUUCUCUUGUCUUUCAACUUGAUCUUGACAAAUGGACCAGAAUAGGAUUUUUUUUCCCCCUGCAAAUAAAGUUAGUGGGAAGGCUUUCUGGAAUACUUUCUCUGCUUUUAUUGGCUAUGUUGUACUCAGAGGCAUGAUCGAUAGGAUCAAUAUUGUAAAAGGGAUAUAUUUGGGUCUUUAAUCAUCUGAGAGAUGCGUGAGUUGCAUACAAGACCUGUAGAGGCAGACGUAAGUGAAGUAUCGCUGACUGAUUAUUGGAAUGAUUUGUGUUUGGGUAAGUUUGUUACCAAACGCGGUAAUCGAGCUGUUAAUGAAGCAGACAUGAGGUUGCAGAAAGAGAAAAAAGAAAACCCCAGAACGAGGGUUUAAUUUGUCAGCUUUGUUUUUCAAACAUGCGGCAGUUUACUUUCAUAAAUCUGAACCCCUUUGCCCGUGGUGGUGCUUUGUAUGCAGAGGAUUUAAUAACAACAUACGCUUUUUGCUUUGGUAAGGCUCUCUGAGCAAUACUGCUCUAUUCCAAAAACAAUUUAGAAUUAAUGAAAUGGCUUACUGUGGGUUCCAUGCAUAUAGUUCAGGGGCGGAAUAACAGAGUGAGUAGUUUUUCACAUGGGUACCAUAAUAGUGCAACCCUCAGGGCUGACAGUGAGUCAUAACACUUCCUGAAUUACAUAUCAUGGGCAGGAAAUUCCGGACACCUGAAAAAGGAAGGAGUCUCAGAAAGAGCACCCCACAGAAAAUCAUUUCUCAUUUGCUAUCAUUUUCUUUUCUCUCGCUGUUCAGUUCGCUCAGACAGAUUCAGGAGGACGGUGCAGAGAGGGCCGGUUAAGAGCCAGGGUGAUAAUUUAUACUCAGGAUGAAAAAGUUACUAUUUUCUCUUCUACUGGGGGAAACGGGCCCACCCAUUCGAACUCUCUAGACACUUUUUCAUGGGGUAAAUAAAAUGAACGAUAUUCACAGGAGUAUUAAAUGCAGAUCAGGACACUUACAAGCAGAUUACAGGAAAACAGAUCAAAACUUAUUAAGCUAGCUGGUUAAAACAAGCUCCUGUAUGCUACUGUUUUUUUUCUUGUGAAAAAUAUGUCAAAGUUUAAAUGGAAAAAUGUUACAAAUUAAGAUUUUAUCAACCAAGUCUACAAGGUUAUAGAGAUUUUAAGUGGUUUCCAGAUUUCCAGCUCCUUUUUUUGGUCUAAAAGUUGACAGCUUCAAAGGCGCCAACCACUGCCUGAACAGACACACACUGCCUGAACAGACACACACUGCCUGGCAUGACUGUUCCUCUACACAAGCAUGCACGCGCACAAUGUACUCUGCAUGAAACAUAAAUACAGCCACAUUAUGAACUACAAUCACAGCCAAAAAACAACACAUACAAAAACACACACUGAGAAACUACUGCUGGGGGCAAAGUGAUAUUCUCUACACCAAACAUGCAAAACACACAGCUGCAGUUACGACUGCUUUCUCUGCCGGAAUAUACCGGCAACACUGAACGCUGAUAAAUGAUUCAUGGCAUUUCCAUUCUUUCCAUGAGCUAUCUGGCUUGGUUGUAAAAACUGUUGUCUUUGUUGUACUCCGACAGUGGGCACACAAAUGCUCACAGAGUGCAUACUGCAAUUGGACUAUAAAAACUGUGCAAAUGGUACAGCCAGAUGCUGCCAAUAAUGAGGAUUCUGCCUUUUGUUUAAAAUCACUGUUGGUCAAAAAAAAAAUGGAUGCAUGUUCUUGUCGUUUUGUUUUCAGCCAAAAAUGUAGUCAGUGACAGGGUGAAGACUCAAAUCAGCCACCUGUACACAGCUGUUAAAACAGCUAAAUGCAUGUUAAGGUGAGAAGAGAGACAGACAAUAUCCUCUGCUUCAAGGGAUCAACCCUGUUAGUCCUGUUAGUGACUCCUUUCUGCAGCAGUGACAACAAAACCACCAGAGUAUCAUUAAUAAAAGUAUUGCUCAUCCUCCAUUCAGUGGAAGAGUAGCAGAUUUGAUUGUUUGUUUGUCUGAUGUCAGGUGUUUAAAAAGUAAAUUUCCAAGAUUGUAAAGCCCAAAUUCACGCCUCCUGAGGACAAGUGUUGCAAAUUAGCACGUGCUAAAACACUCAAACAAUGCAUCUGGUUUGUCCAGAGUAAUUGUGAUGUCCACAUCAAAUAAACAAUACAUGAAUAAAUUCAUCUGCUUAACUUGUUUAUUUUCCAGAAGUGUGUAUUGAAUAAUUGCCUCACAAAUUAUAACACUUGUUAAAGUCGUUUUUCAGUUCUGACUAAUGCAAGAUUCUCCUCUAAUGGCUUUUCUGCCACAACUCCUCUGGGUAAAGUUUUCACCAUUUUCACUAACUUUUAAUCUGACAGCACAAGCAGGUCAAACCUCAGCAUCCAUUAGCUGAGUCAUGAUGAAAAACCUACAAAAUAUUCAUCAGCUUUAUGGUGCUUUAAGUGGUUUAGCAAGAAACAUAAAACAUAAGCUUGAGCUAGGCUAGGAAGGUGACAGUGAUUAGUUUUUGUAGUGCUAUAUAAUGCCCAUCAUUGAUCCACAUAAAACAUUCUGUUUUUAAUUUACUCUGGUAUUUUCGGUUCAUGUCAAAUGAUCCUCUGAGGAUUUUCUAAAUAAACUUGUACAAAACGGUCAUGGCUGGUAGUUCCUAGUUGAAUUCAAGAGUAAAACACAGGCUGUAAGGAAGCUUGUGUAGCUGUUUUCACAAGUGACCUAUGUAUAAAGUAGGGCUGUCAAAGCUGACAUCAUAAUAUCCAGUUAACACUUGCCAUUUUUUUUUAUGUAUUAAGUAUUGUAUUAAGAACAAGGAGCAUGCAAACCUCCUUGAAAUUAAAUGGAUAAAAAAAUAGUCUUUUGAGUGACAAAUCUGGCUCCAAAACACUGCCGGACAGUUCUCUAUAAGUGCUAUUGCAGUUAAUUGUGAGUAAAACCCCAUGAGCAAUCAUUCAAUUAGUUGUGAUAAAACAUUUCAUUGAUAAACGGCUGUAGUAUAAAGUGAUUUACAACAGAUGUUGUAUUAUUAAAGUUUGUGUUACAGUAAAUGUAGUGUAGAGAUUAAGAAAAUUAAUAGAUAAAUAAAUAGGUGCUCCUUUCACUCAUAUUUACGGUAAGAAAUGAAACUCGUGAGUCAUAUGUACAUAUACUGGUUAUUAAACAGGAUCCAUGUGGAUGCCAUAUUUGUAUUAAUACAAAGAUAAAAACGCAACAGUUAGCUAGCCACUAAUGCUGUGUUCGAGUCACCUCAGAAGUCAGAUAUCAAAGCUGGGAAUGGUGUCACACCCAAGUUACCAGCAUUUCAGUUACCAAGUCAGAAAAAAGCUAAAUCAGAGGCGGAAACAAGAUGGCUACAUCCACAAAAGCAAGGACAAGGCAAGCGCUAAAGUAACUUUCGUAGAUGUAGCCAUCUUGUUUCCACUUCCGAUUUUGCUUUCUUCCAACUUGUUAACUGAAACACUGGUAAGUCGGGUGUGACAUCAUUCCCAGUUUGGACCUCUGACUUCCAAGGUGACUCGAAUGCAGCAUAAAUACUCUGACUUGAUGCUCAUUGGUGAUUAUCAUCGGGGUUCACAAGAGUUGAUCAGGAUGAAAUCAGAAUAAAAGAACAACACUGAGGGACAGCAAAGGCGGGUGAAUUACUGAUUGUGCCAAAUGAUGUGAAAAUAAGCAUUUAAACCGUGAUGAAAACAAACAUCUUUUUCUUUUAUACACAAAGUGCUUUACAAAAACAAGAAACCAAGUCAUACCUCAGCUAACAUCAUGCUGGUUCAUUUCUGCAGAUUAGCGUGCCAAAGUUUAUAUUAGCAGGAAGCACAAUGGUGUCCCAGCGACAUCCUACAGAGCUGCUGACUGCAUGACUCACUUCUGAAUACAUUUGAUAUUUUUGUUUUAUAUGGCAGAAAAUAGAGCCAGCAUGUUGGUGGAUCGGUUGUCGCUCCCACCUCACUCGCAGAAAUGUUCCUGGCAUGCUCGUGUUGUGCCGGUUUCCUUCCUUCAGGUGUUUUGGCUCAUUCCCACAGUCCAGAUACACGGUCAUAAGGCUAACUGUGUUGCUGCUAGAAUAUGAGUGGGAAUAAUCGUCAAUUUCUGUGGGUCAGCCCUCUGAUUGACUCUUUCCAGAAUGCACCAUGCCUCUUGUCGAGUGAAAGGUUUAACUCUGAAAAGAGAGCUAGAGAGAUGCAGUUGGUGAUUUUGUAAUUUGAUUACCAAAGGGUUACAAAGUCAUAGAGGGUUUUUAAAAUUAUACUCACAGUUGAAGCGCUUGUAGAAACGUCGUUUGUCUGAGUGCAAACAGCACAUUUUAUGAUAUUUUGUCAGGAAACAACGUGAUUCCCAUCCCUUGAAGCAAAGCUGUGGGUGACUGUUUUUCUGCUAAAUCAUAUGACUGACUCCCCUCACAUGGCCUAAAACACAGUCAUACAACUCCACGUGUGUGUGUGUAUGUGCACACACACUCACACAUUCAGAUACACACCUCCAAUGUCACAAGUGCAGAGCAGGGCGCCCCAAGCACUAAGAGGGGGAGCUUAGGGCCCUCUAUGAGCAACAGAGCACAACGGACAGAGAGAGAGAUAGAAGGGGGAGAGAGAGGAGCGGGGAGAGAGAGAGGGGACGAGGGGCAGCGCUCUGAGCCACAGUGCAGUCACAAGCAACGAGUGAUGAGAGAGGACAAGGUCACAGAUCAUAGACGAGGGAGAUAUGGGCAGUCAUGUAUGGCAACAUACCUCCUCACUACGACUCCACCAGAACAGAAAAUAGAGCACAUAAGCUGAACCCUGUGACACAUCUGUGCACAUGCUCACAGCUCCGCAUUUAUGAAAAAAGAUUUCGCUUGUACCCAAAAGACAAAAACAACCCACACAAAAUUAAGCGGUUUGAUUUAUUCAUCUAUUUAUGCUCAGGGCACAAAACCUUUGUUGAUAUAACAUGCUAAUUUCUGCAUGCUAAUAUUCAAGCUAUUCAGGCUUUUGUUAGCUUAUCGCCUCAUAUGCUAUGCUCUUUUUAUUUGUAACAGAAGAGCACUCUCUCAAAGAGUUCUGCUUUCAGAUCCGUAUGCCUUAACCUCACUGGUGCCCCCGACAGUCAAUAGUAAUAUCACAUGAGCUGACCUGAGUACAGGGCCUAGAGGCAGUUUGUUAAGCUGGUUCCCUGGUGAGUGCUUUGCAGACGGGUGUUGCCCAGAGUUGAAGUCUAUUAGUUCGAGUUUAUUUACAGCCAAAUGCCCAGAGACCCGCCUCUGUAAUGUUGUUUGGGGGAAAAUAAGAGCUGAAAUUGAAUGAAAAGCAUCACACCACAUGCAUAAUUCAUAGAUAUCAUUAUCAAGCGCAUGCAGACGCACAGAUCAGCGAACACAUAAAAAGCACAGAGAACACAUACUCGAGAAUACAAACGGGCGAAAACGUACGCACACAGGUCAUUAUGUGUGCUUAUUAUAAGGCCUUUUCAGUCAUUUAUCCUGGUGCUGAACUCGGGCCAAUUUUCCCAGCAUGGGUCCUACUUAAGCAUAAUAACACAACAGCAACAUCACAGCAAGAGUUGAGGACGACUCUCGGACCAUGUAAGCGAAAAAGGAAGAACAAUAAAAGCUCAUAGACUGUGUUUCCAAACUAGCACCAGUAAAACAGGUUCUCGGCACUUUCCCGGGAGAGGAUCCUAUUGCAUUUAAACAGGGUAUCUUGCCGAGCACGGCUGACAAUGUGUUUGAAGUAUUUGAGUGUGCGUCUGUAUGUACAAAGGAAUAGAGCAAUUGAGGUAGAGAGAAUCAUGACGAAGGGUAAUGAGAAAGGCGAGAUGAAGGCAGGAAAUUAGAAAGUGUGACAGAUACAGUGAGAGGCUUGGAGGAAAAAAAUAAAAAAGGAGCGGGAGGUGGAAAAAAUGUAUUUUCUCUCUGUAUUUGGCAGCAUUGUACCUCGUCUACCUCUCGUGGGGCCCUUUGACCUUAGACUCUCUCUGAUGUACUUUUGCAAACCUUAGUUAAGCAGCUCACGGAGCCCCUGCACACACACACACACACACACACACACACACACUCAGUCGGGUUGUUUUAGAACAAAUUGGCUUUAAUACUCUGAUGUAUGCAUGCACACAUUUGCACACACAUGCCACACACAUUUUUGGACUGCCAUUAAGAGUGCUUACUGAAGCAGUACCCUGGUGAGGAGAGAAUUGAGCAGGAUUCUCCAGUGAAUAGUCAGAGAUUCUGGUUUCAUUCAGGAGACAAAUGAAGCGUGAGCAGUCUGAAGGGCGCACACCCACACUUAAAACACACGUACACACAUUUAGUCCUGCGCCGAGCAUAUAGACACUCGCACAGUCCUCGCGAAGCAGGAUGUUUACACACAUACACACACACACACCGCGGCUAGUGCUCAGUGCACUGUGACACCCAGCGAAAGGAUGGAGCUUCAGAGCACUUCUUAAUUAUUGUGAGGCAGCCAGCUGUGUUAGCCAGGGCAAGAGAGGAAGAAAGACAAGGCGAGAGCACGGGCCUGACAUGAUCUAACAUGUGCACACACACACACGCAGACCCACACACACACACACACGGAACCUGCCCGCAUCUUGAAGAUGAACAGUGGUUGUUAAGUCUCUCAAACUCCAGCAGAAAGCGCUCACUGAUUGAUUGGGAAUAUACUUCACACACACUUCAGGCUGGUAAAAUAACAGCUAAGGGAGCGAGAGCGGAAGGAGAAAACUCCAGAAAGGAGGAGGUAUUAAAAAGAGAUGAGAGAUGAAAGUGAAUGGAGAUGGCUCUCUAAUGCUUUUCCUCCUUCCCUCCUGAGAUCUGUGAGCAAGUGUGUGUGUGUGUGUGUGUGUGUGUGUGUGUACUUCUGUGAGUGCGCAAAGAGUAUAGAGAGCUCUGUGAAAGAUGAAGAGCAUUGUUUGAGACGUGCUCUUGUUAUGUUGUGCGCCGUAUUCGUAGACUUCUCACACUCACUGAAACUCCCACUGCUCUUUCAACCUAAUUGAAGCCUGCUCGCUGAGACGCCGUGACGUGUGAUGUGAUCAAAGGUUAGCGCACAGAGGAGGAAUGAUGUGUAAUUUUCAAAUCGAUUCAAUAUUGUGUUAUUUCUCAUCUUUACAGUUUCAUCAGCGUCAAAGAAAGUUUAAAACAAGUGUAUGAAGUUGUGCUGAGGCUGCAGGCGGUAAAUAAGAGAUCUAGUGUGGUUGGCAGGGAUCUUUUUAUACUUCUGAUGCGUCAUUUUUUUUCACAGCGUACUCUGGAAUCAAUUAUAUACACAGAGUUUAUUUUCAUUUUAGCUCUCCCCGGGGGCCAUUCGCUUGCCGAACAAUAAGCAAGAUGGCACAAGUACCUGCCAACCUCUUCGAACACUUUAAACAAGGAUCAACACAAAAGGCAAACAAUAAAGUGGGGGAAUUGCUCCUUUAGUAGAUCCUUAAUGAAGAAAAGCAGUUUUAUUUCAACAAGUCAUUCAUUCAGCCUCCUUUUUUUAAGAGCUAACCUCAGCUGUGCGAGACCUUAGUGGACACUUUCGAAUAAAUCAGUGCACACAUAAUAAAGCUGUCUCAUCCAUCCUGAACUCAGGGUAUAUGUUUGUGUGUGUGUGUAUGUGGAUGUAUGUGUGUGAAGUUGCAGGUAAAAGCUCAACCAGCCUGUCUGAGAAAGUGAAAGAAACAGAAAGAAAGCAAGACAGUUAGAGACAGAGAGAGAGAGAAUCCCCCCCGGCUCCAACAAACCUUUAUCCUCCAUGCUUUAUCCUCAAAUAGUGCUGUUCUCAAAGUUCAAACACCUGGCAGUGAUUCUUGCCUUCUGAUUUAUUCCUCCUCCAUAUUUCCACCUUGGCCCAAUCCUCUGUUCUCUCCCCUGUGUUAUCUUUCUUCCCUUCCUUCCUCUUCUGAUUAUUUUUUCCUUAAAGCUUUUUCCUUUCCUUUAGUCUAAAUCACACUUCGUUAACAGUCUCUUUGAUAAACCAUGUAAAUAAGUCCAGUUUCGGUCUCAUUUUGCUCUAAACUGAAGCCCUUCUGCCUUUUAAUUAUUCACUUUUAUGAAAACUAAACAUUGUUUUAAUGUGCUAUUGAAGCUAGCACCUGUUAAUCAAGAUACAGCAGUUGAAGUGGGAGACCGAAGCAUAUAUUUACACCUGUGUACACACACACACACAUUCACACCCUCACACUCGUGGAUGUUUGUGGUUAGAAAUGCACAAACACAAACACAAGAUGAAGGAACGAGUGGCAGAGCCUUGGGGUGGCCUGGAGCUGUUUCCCAAUCAACGCCACUGGGGAGAACAAGAGAGACCUUCAGUUUCUACACUGGGAACUCUGAGUGGGCUUCAGACGAACACACACAUACACACCUACACAUACACACACACUUACACACGAGCACCGAGAUGCAUACAUCCGCCCACGGAUAGUCUCCUCUUCAGAGGAACACAUUUAAAACCAUAUGACAUGUGAGGGCGUCUCUGAUCAAACUGGCGACAGUCUGACGUGACUCAUGCACGUACACAGAAACAGUCUCUGAAUUCCUGUUUGAAAUAUACAGAUUUGCAUUACACACCGCGCACACAGGCUUGGAGGGGAAAGAAAAAUGAUUAUAUUUUCAAACGAAAUCUUCUCUCAUUUAUCUGCUCUGUUUUUGACAUUGGGAUUUUAAAGAAAGUCGUCUUUACUGACAAUUAAAUCAAAAUCCUGCUUUACUGAAAGGUGUUGAACCCCGGUACUUAACAGCCCAGUGUGAUGGCCUGAACACAGACAGACGUCAAUCAUUGAGAAUUAACUUAUUUAGAGUCUUAGUCAUGCAGCUUAGCCUUCAAAGAGCUAUACUGUUGUAACCCGACAGACUGUUUUUACUACACAUCCAUCGUAAGAGAAAUAUUUCACAUCCAUCUGGGCAGCACCCUGCAGAUGGUGUUUGGGGAAGGUAGAGCCUCUCCAAAACCAUCAAAACGAAGAAGCUCUGAGGGUGAUGCACAAAUGUUCCAUCUUGUCAUGUUCAUUACAGGCCAAACGGAGCAGCAAAACAUAUGAUGUGGCAGGUGUGUGCUGCUACCAUGGAGUAAACUACAGAAUUAACUAUAAUACAAGUUCAACAGGUACUUGUCCUAUAGGUUGGCUGUAAGCUUUGAAUAUUUCAGUCCAAAGACAAUUCUCAAACAUGGACUUAAUUAACAUAGCAUCUGCAUAUGACAUAUAAAGUAACACUCUCUAUCAAGCUGCAGUAAUAAACCUCUGCAGUGAGCGUAUUUCACCAGCUCUGAUAUAACUGCUGUUAUUGUUGCAUCCAUGGUAAUCUCAUUGUUUACAGGUAUGCAGCUGCCUCUUUCUGCCACAACUUAACAUGCCAUUUAUCACUUCUUACUCCUCAUAUCACACUAAUUAGCCCGCUUUUCAAGGUACAGAAUUUUACUGUGACAAAACAGGGAAGUAAUACAUUUGUUUUUGUUAGAGAUUAAAUGACAUUUUACUGAAAAAUAAAUAAAUUAAUACUCUGAAUAUUUUAGAAUUCAUCCAUUACAGUAAGUGUAGUAAUAUUAUUUAGUAGAAAUAGAAAAUCCUUUUGCAGUUAACAUGGUACGGCUUCAAAUUACAGUCUUCCUGCUUGUGGCCUGAUCUGCUUUUAUUGGUCGAAGAGGAAAAUGGGUAGUAAAUGACAGAGAGUUUAACAAACAUCCAAACUAUUACGAAAUAGCAGUAACGUAAAUAACUCUAGGUCAUAACAAUGAGCUUGAAUUCUCAGGAUUCUUGUGUAGAAAUCACUUUCAAGUAGGAUGCAGAGUAAGAAGAAUUGGUUAUUCCUUGGCUGUGAAAGAGAAACUCAUUUUGUGUUUCUCUGUUUAUGUGUGUUUUUCUAAGUGGACAGGGAUUAAUAAAAUUGAUUUCUGUUUUAAUACUAAAAAAAUGAUUCAUCAGGCUUUAGUAUGGUCCAUUUGCUGUGGGCGGCCCCUUGUCUCGCCAGGCCAGCCUCUGUGCAACAAAAUCUGGCCUCAUGACAGGCUGCUACAUCAAAACAACCAUAGAAGGGCACAGAGUGGCUCUCCUGAAAAAGAUAAAAUAAAUGAAAAUAAACCUGGAAGUACAAACUUUAGAGAAGAUCAGGACAAAAGCAUCACUGUAUGUAAGAUGACUACCAAAGAGAUAAAAUAUUGUAGAGAUAGAACAACUCUCCAAAACCAUUUUACAAAGCAUCACACAGGUAUGCAGUCUGCAUAGACACACAGUCUGAAACAAAGCACCUGGCCGAAGACGUGCCGCAAGCGCAGCGUCAAUCAGAUCCACCGCGCUGACAAGGCGUUCCCAAGCACAUUUUGGUAUUUUGGUGAGCCGCGCAGUCCGGCGUAAGUAUCCCCCCUCCCUAACUCAGCUCCUCCCGGCAGCAUAAGUCAUAGACGGGGAGGAGAGAGGGCGUGGAGUCGGUUUAACACAGCCGAGACCUGUUUUCACCAAUCACAUAAGCUCCUCUCCUUGCCUUUAAAUCCGCCACCGGCGAGGCGUAUUACUAUUUUCAUGAAGUAGUCAAAGAGAUCAAGAGAUGUCUGAAGACAGUUAUGCCACACGAUGGCGACAGAGGGCAGCUGCUCAACAAGUGUCCUCCACACUCUCUCAUCUGAGCACAGAUAGAUUUGGUGUGCGUAAUGUUGGACCCACUGGUAAGACAAACAUCCUUUUCCACAAAAAAGACACUCACAUAAAGUUGCAUAUAUUCAAACCUCACGUGACAAAGGUGGGUUGAGCGCACAGAUCACAACAUAAACUCCAAAAAUGGCAUUAAAAUCGGAACCAUCUGUGCGUAAAUGACGCAUCGCGCUCCGUGGCCUGGCUCUUUCUUUCAUAGAUGUUGGCAUAUAAAAUAAAUUUGGCCCACAAAACUGAAUAUUAUAAUAUCCGUAUGUCGGCUUAAAGUAGAUAACGCAUCUGAGCACUGAAACAAAUCAGCUGUUCAGCCGCAGCAGCAAGCAAGACGGACAGAGGACACGGAGACGUGUCCAGGUCGAGCUGUGCGAGAAAUAAGAGGAAGAAAGAAAAGGAGGGAGACACAUUACAUAUCUUGUUAACUUCAUCAUGUGUGUUUAUUUACUAGAUAUUUAAUUUAAUUUGAUGCAGUUUCAGCUGUAUUGAUUCGGUCAGGUUGUGUGCCCAAACGCGUGCCAAACGCGCUCAUCAGAUCAGAUAUAGAUCAGAAUAUAUCGAUAUAGAUCUAAGUGUAUGUGCUGACUCAGAUUAAUAGUUGAUGAUGAUUAUUUAUUGCACUGAAAUGCUUUCAGCGCACGUUACACGCCGGUGGCGAGCACGAAAAUGUCACUGCGCCGGCUGAUUCUGUCAACACCUCCCCCUGCCACGCCACCACGCCCAGCUUGGCGGAUCUCGGCUCGCCUCCGUGCGACUCAGUCCACGAAAAUACCAAACUCGCCUUACGCCGGGUUCCACCAGACGAAAAUACAACUGCGCGGGGCUCGCCGCCCUCCGCCGCCUCACCGGCGCGAACGAAAAUAGAGCCCACAGUCUGAAACAAAGCACCUGGGAGAAGGUGUUUACCUUUAGCUAACCAUCCAGCUUUCUGCAUGACCUGAAACCCCAUGAGGCUGUUGCGGGUUUCAUAUACCUCUGCACAGCACAGUCGAAAAUGAAGCCUCCAAAGCCUCAUUAGCAAUCCCUGCUGUUUUUUACAGACAUGCAAACAUUUCAGUGAAGUGGCCAUUCAUGAACUUUUGCAGAGUUGAAACACAACCUUGCAUCUGCAAAGCCCAGGUUUUUAUCAGACCUGUUUUGUCUUGAUCCGCCAGAUCUCAAAGGGACUGAACUGAAGGACUUCAUCAAUUAACAUUCAUAGCUGUUUGUUUGUGUGUUUCAUUGUUCUUCAAUGUGGACCAAAUGUUGUGUUAUAAUGGUGUUUUCAUUAAUAGCUGGGGUGUAACAUUAUGAACACCUGGCUAGUGAACGGCACAGUGGAUGUAGGAAUCCAAUUAGCCAGUUGGUACUAUAUGUUAGUACGUUAUAGUAUGUUAGUACUACUUAUUUCUGACCUGGGCCUUAUUAAAUCUCGACCGAAAACGUAUUUAUUUAUGCUGGCUUUUGAUUCCCAGUAUUGUGGUGACCCUUUCCUUUAUUUUGUUGCUUUUUAUUGUUUUCAUUUAUUCAUUUUAAUCUACUAUGGAUUGUAAGGCACUUUAGUUCACCGAAACGGUUGUUGUAAAAGGCUGUAUAAAGAACAUGGAAGACAGACAUGCAGCAUCAUAAAAGUGGUGUUGACAGUUUUAGAGGGACGAGUGAGAUUAGUUUUAAAAAUUCAUAUAGUCUAUUGAUCAUUUUUAGAAACAAAAAAUAAAAAAUAAAUUCAUAUGAUUGAGGUUACAUGCACACAGAAACUGGGUAAUCAUAUGCCUUUAGACGUGAUAUGUAAUUAUAUUAUUCCCUGAUUACUGCAAAUGGUUUGCACAGCUGCCAAUAAUGUUAUUUUUUAUUUUUAUUUUUUUAUAACACAAGCCCUAAUGUUCCCUCUGUAAUUCAAUCAAUCAAUCAAUCAAUCAAUCAAUCAAUCACUCUUUGUUUGUUCAGCAUCAAAUCCCAACAAACGUUACCUCAAGACGCUUAACUAAAAAGCUGGUCCAGACCACACUCUAUUUAAAAAGACCCAGUGUAAAGAUGGGAUCAGAUUGAGCCCCAUCUUGUAAGACGCAACCCACUCCCAUUCCAUCUUCAACCUCAUGAGUGAAUCACUUUACAGCAUUUAUCAAGUUAAAGUGGAGAACGUCCUUUAACAGGCAGAAACCGCGAACAGAACCAGACUGAUGUGAGACAGUCAUCUGCUGAGACUGAGCUGGGUUUAGAGAGGGGAGAGAGGGAGAUGGAGAAAGAGAGAGAUGGAUAGAGGAGAGACUGAUAGAGGGAGAUGGAGAGGGAGUGAAAGAGAGAUGGACAUAGGAGAGACUGAUGCGCAUAGUAAAGCAGCUAAAACUCAGUAUCUCUGUUGUUGAUUCAUGACUAGGUUGAGCCCAUUCCUAUGCAGGUAGUCAGCAGCAAAAUCCUUGACACACAUGCAAAUACACUCAGUGUUUGUUAAUCUCAAAACAUUUUACAGAUAAAAGAGUAAAUUAAAUUGAGACACACCAAUUAAAUUCAAUUAACUGUGCAUACUAACUUAAUGUUUUCGAGGCAAGGUCUGCAGAUGUGUACCUGAACCUUACAAGCAAUACCAAUGAGUAGACAAUAAUAUAUCUACAGUGAAUGCACAAAAGCACAAUGUAAUACAAAACAAAAACUUUGGGAGUUAAAUAAUUAAAGCAUCCAAGCGGUAUUAAAUGCAGUACUGUUGAAUCUGCAGAGGCAGAUGGCGAGUGGGAAAGGGGUCAUGGAAGCAUCGCCCCAUGAGGUAGCUAUAGAGAGUAAGACUGCAUGGAAAAUAAAUCAUGACCAUUAAGGAGCAUGAACCAAACCCCCAAGGUGAAAGUGGAGAAGUAUUCAAACACACAUUUUGCAGAUUGUGCAAACAAAGACUAUUUUUAAUGAAUAAGAGGGACAAAUCCAAUGAGCAGUGAUGCGGUACAGUAACCAGCAGGAGUCUGGUUAGAGUUGACAAAUACCUCACAGACUGUACAAUUCAAAGUAGUAGGACAAGGAUUCGGUCUGUAGCUAACAGUUUACCAUGAGUAGUCAUAGAAACCAAAAUGUCAUGUGUUGUGACAGUCUUAGAACAACCAUUUCUUAUGUCUCGAGUCCAUAGGCAGAAGUUGUCCAAUACUACCCAGAUACAGCCAUGUAGCAAAGCUCCUAUUGUGACUGAAAUACCCCUGGAAAUGUAAUUCUUGAAACUGAUGAUAAAAAUUGGGAAUAAAACUAUAUCUUAUUUAUGAAUUUCGUGUGCAACUUGGCUCCUUAUUUACAUGAUCAUCUGGGCCAGAUUUGAAGGUUAGGACAGUAAAGCAGGUCAGAGAGUUUUAAUAAAGAAAACUUGAAAAAUUACAAAUAAAUGAUGUAAAAUACAAAUAGAAACAUUUCACAAUUAGAGCUUUUUUUCUGCAGAGCUCGAGUAGCUCAUUAGCAAUUCGCCUCUGAGUCGUGGGCAGAGACAGCGCUGCUCUGCAUACUGGUCUUCAUGCUAGGUUGUAGCCUAACAUUGCUUGUGUAGUAAAAGUUGCAGGUAACAUAGGAGCUAUUAAGCUCUCAGAGACACUAAUGUAUUUGGGGGCAUAAUAAAAGUUAAUAUCAUAAUUAGCUUUCUUAUGAGCACUGCAAUCCGCUACAGACACGCUUGUUCCGCGAUAAUCGUCUCUAUUUCUCCUGAGCCUGGCCUGCAUAGCGGGGCUCCAGGGGCGAAGCUUGGAUUGGUUACGUAUGAAAUCUCACUGUUUCUGAACCUGCCGUCUGGGUCUGCCAGAGAUACACAGCGAUUUGAAUGAAGAAAUACUCAGAAAAGCAAUUUUGCAUUUAGUUUUCUCAUGAUAUGUCCUGUAGCAUUAGAAAAAUGCCAUAUGAACAUACAAAGAACAAGAAGAGGGUCUUUAAACAUAUUUAUUUACAGGGGCGGCAGUGGCUCAGAGGUGAAGUCAGUUGUCUUCCAAUUGGAAGGUCAAGGGUUCAAUCCCAGAUCCCACUGUCAACAUGCCAAUGUGUCCUUGGGCAAGACACUUGCAAUCAUCUACCCUGUUGGCUGCAUCCAGUAGUGUCAGUCAAAAAAGCAAAGGGCCCUAUUAGGGGUGUAAGGGUACACAUAGUUUUAACUGUUUCAGUACAGGACUUAUGGUACACUGUGCAUGCAUACUGAGCUAAAAUCCUAGUUCCCACAUGGCCAUAAGACAGAAACAGACUACACAUAUGGACAUUCGUUUCCUGUGUUUCAAGAGGCUCAUGCAAUCAGCAAUCCAUCCAGCAGUUGAAUGUAUUAACAGUGUAUAGAUUCAUUCUGUAUACCUCUAUAAUUCAAACAUGUCUUUGUAAGUAUAUUGUUGGUGCCCUUUGCAUCUUUGAUCAUUACUUCCUUUGUUGUAAGCUGUAGGAUCAAUGAAGUUCCUUAUUUUAUUUCUCACUCCACAGAAAUCAAGUCAUUUUAAGUUUCUUGUACUUUUGUAUAGAUUUUCAAUCAUCUCUCCACCACCGUUGCAAACCCACUCUCUUACAAACAAGAGUGAAAAUAACUCUAAAGUUGUGAGUCAUUCAGUGUUUUGUAAUUGUACUUUUACAGGGCUGGAGUGCCACAAAGAUCUUAUUGGAAAGCAGUUGCUAUUACUCGGACCUUUUGUCCAAAGAAUAACACAUUUAGCAGCUCCAGGUCAAGACCUUCAGUACAGAACCUUGCACCCGUACCCAGAACACAACAGGAAGUCUGGAUGCUUGCAGCUUUAACAAGCCAUAUCAGAUAUUAUGUUUUUGCUGUUGUGUGUUUGAAAAGUCUUCAGACUGGGAGGCUCUUUUAGUGCUUUCUUUUAAGUGCUGAAACUUCUCUGAGACCUCUAGACUUAGAAUCCUAGCCAAGUCUAACUUGAACAUUUCCAAGUCACCAUCAAAAGGAGAAAAAAGAAUAAACAUUUAGUGAUUGAUAUUAUCUUUAAUUACACCUGAAAAUGUGUUUAUUACUUCAUAAACAGUCACAGUUGACAUUAGCCUUUAAUUAAGUUGCACCCAUUGUUUUCUUUGAUUUAAGUUUGUGUAUACAAGAGCUUAUCAUCGGCAUAAGAGUUGACUUAAGGUAGAGGAAAUACAAAUGUUGAUACUCCUCUGGAUUUUGAAGAUCUAAAUGACUGGGGGACAUAACUGCGAUGAAUUUUAGUUUCAACUGAAUGUCAUUGUCUUAUCCUGUUACAGUAAGGUUCUGUAAGAGAUAUGGGAUGUGUCAGACCAGCAUUUACAAUAUUCAACAUAUUUUACCUCAGGCAAAAGCACAUUAAAGAUAAACAGGCUUUCGUUGUUUUGAUGAUACUGAACAUGAAUUAGAGCAUCUGAACAUUGUCGGAGUAGACUUUGGGACUUGCCCUGCUGCUUCAAAUGUGGCGGUGGGAAAUGGUGACACUGAAAAAAUAAAAUAAAAACAACAGGAUUAGAAACUGAUGGGUAUAUGAAAUAAAUGUGUAUAAAGAAAUCAAUAGCAGACUAAACAUUAACUCAGUGUAGGAGUUUUAACACGUUAAUUGAAUAAUGUUUGACUUGAAAAUGAUAAUACUGAUAAAAGUUUUUUCUUUUUUCAUUUGACUUAACUCAUGUAUCACAUGUUAUAUUGGCAGGAAGACCCUGCAUCCAAAGUUAAAGGGAUAUUUUGGCGUAAAAUUAAGUUAGGGUCAAACACACUAUAAUAGUAAGACACCCCGUUGAGAGAUGAAUGUUGCAGACCGCUUGCUUAUCUAGUUAUACCAACUUUAGUAAUGGCCGCAGAUAGCAAUACAGAGAGCCACGCGCUCAACCAAAAAGCCACUCUAUAGCCACAAAUAAUGCUCAGAACAGCACCUAACUUCAUCAACAGUACAUAUAGUGUCCCAGCCAAAGUACUAGCCAUCAAACAUAUUUUAAGUUUUGCCUGAUUUCUUUAGCAAAGAGACAAAACACAACUCACCCACUCUCUCCCAGCAGCUGCUUGUUUGUACGGAGAUGUCUGGACAAGUCCAUCAACUGCAGCGGGAGGACGCAGCUCAAGGAAGAACAUUUAUGUCUGUGUGUAAAAACCCUUUGUUAGCUUUGCAGAAUACUGCACAAUAGGACAUAACCAAGCUUAUGAUUCCUAAUUUCAUUAAGUGUUGGUAUUGACACUGGCAAACCUGAUUAGAGAAUUGGUAAACUAGCCAAAUAAACAUCUGUAUGUUCUGUUCCAACUCCACUAGUUCUAAUAUCAGCUUUUAACAUGCCAGGGGCUUUAUUGUAUAAGGAUCCAGAGCAGCAGCUGAGAGGUACUCAGAGCUGUCAAUCACAUCAAUCAUUAGAGUGUCUCUGUGAGGACAAUGAAACCACCUCUAUAACAGGGUGGAGAGGUGACUGCUAGAUGUGUUCGUCAUAAAAUCGGAAGUGAUAUUCCAAAGUUGAAGAUUGAAAUGAGACAGAAACUGCUGUGAUGUUAAUUACCACUUGCUGGGAAAGCUUAGUCAUUAUUAUUAACAGAUGUCAAGAACUGCUUAUAGAGUGAAGCUUUUAGCAGACUGAUGGGAAAAAAAAGGCUCAAAAAAUUCUACUGAACAUGGACCUAUAUUAUACCUAUGGUGAAUGCACAGUCCUGCAGUUUGCACUAUUAAUUCACAGUAAACACCUGACAAAACAGUUGAAAAUAUUUUUUUUGUAGAAAGUAUUGCUAUUAUCAAACAAAUUAUAGCAUUCUACAUGAUUCAUUUCACAUGUUUUCUGCUGUAACAGGAACAGCUAUUUACUGUAGUCAAAAGAAUUUCAACGAAUAAUUGUCAUUUUGUUCACGUUAUUUUCUUGUUCUCUGCAUGGUUACAUGGUUCCACUGUUUAUAAUGGAAAAUAACUGUUUAAACUACACUUUACAGUAUAUUUUUGUGAUUAGUUUACAUUUAAUUUGUUUGAACAUAGUAUGCACAGUAUGCACUAAAUUACUGAGUGUACAAAGAGACUUAACAUGCUUUAAAUCUGCAAUUCAUUGGUAAAAUAAAUUUACCAAUAAAUAAAACCCAAGUAAGAGCUGCAGAAACCCAUGACUUGUAUUCAAGUCAAUUGUCUAAAUGUUUAAUAAACAGUGUCCAUCUAUUUUGAUAGAUCCAAUAGAUUUCAAUGGGAUUAAAGUGACUCUUUAAUAUUAACUUCCUGUGUUUGUCAUUUGGUUUAAAUGGCUGGUUAAUUUGUGCAAAUAUCUGUAAACAGUUGGUACUCAUUACAAUCACUUUUUCCCCUUUUCUUCCUCAGAGCAACACAAGAGAAUAAUCAACAUAUUUUUCAUACACGUUGAAUUUAAAAUUGCACUUGCAUGCUAGUUAAAAGACAAAUAUUAGUGUUUGUUAUCGCCUUAAAAGAGGAGUGGAAAAUUACAGUCUAACUUUAGGAUACAAAUGAAAAGUGAGCCAUUUCGGAGCUCUGUUGAAACAACAAGAAUGACAGUGUAGACCUCACCUGUUUGAAAUAUGACCCUUCGGUGUUAUGUAUUCAAACGUUACAUCGGUGUUAGAAUAGGCAUGCACUUUACUUACAGUUUUCAUCCUUCAUUAAACCUGACUGACAUAUCUACAGGGGUGUCAAAUGACUGAUGAGCAUUCACCCUUUUCCUGCUGACGUACCAGUGAGAGGAAAACUGCACAAGCACUUGUUUCCUGGGUAUUAAAUACUGAAUCUUACUAAAGGUGCAAUAUGCUCAUUUAACCCUUAGGCCCUUCUGUGUACAUUUCUUGUUCUUUCAGAUGGGUUUUUAUGCCGUUCAUUUUGGAAAGUAGGGCCCCAGGGCCACGGACAAUAACUGCAAACAUGUUUUAGAUUAGGAAAUCUGGAACGAAAAGGACAUGAUAAGAAACAGAUACAGUUGUAAUGUACAUAAUGAUCCAAAGAUGGGAAGAAAAUUGAUGAUGAGGUUAAAUCUAUUGAUCUGGGUCAAUCCAGAUGUUCCAACAAUCGAACAAUGAUUCAGCCAAAUUAUUGGAAAGUAAAAUCAUCAUCUGCAUUGACCUCUUUAUGAUACGCUGCCACUGGAUAAUCAGCCCACCCGUCUCACAGUUUCUUCAAGGUGUGCUCAGGCAUUGAUCCCAUGCUACCCCUUGCAAUGAGCAUUGGUACCAUGACUACCACUGCCUGCUCAACCUCCUUUGACCAACUUUUUUUUUUUUUCAUCAAUAGCUCAACCAAAACUCAAUUUUUCAUCUUUAAAGGCUUGAGGCUUUGCAGUGAUGUUGAAAAAAUUUUUUUUUUCUGAGAGCCACACUAUACCACAGAGCCACAACACUAAAUCGCAGAGAAACAGCACUUAAGUGAAAUGGUUUACAGGGGCAAGUCUAGGGGGGAUAAACCAAAAGUUUACAAGUCCUAAAAGAGUAGCUUUCACUGUAUUUAAAUUCAAGGUGGUAGAAGGAAUCAAUGUAUGAUUUAAAAAAAUAGCACUCAAAGAAAAAAGUGUGGCACUUCACACAAAAAACAAUGGCCUUUGUUCUCGUGGUCAUGGAGAUGUUAAUGUUUUAAUUCAGAUCUCUAAUAAGAUUGUGAAAAAGCUUCCAUUUUAUUUUCCCUCUGGCUGAAUUAUAAAAAAAGUGUGUCAGGCUGGUAUUGUCUGAAAUGGAUCAAGGCUGUUGUAUGAAAAUGAAUCAAGCUUGUAUUGUGGCAGAAUUUGAACAAUAUAGUCUAGUUGUUCAAGGAAUCAAUAUGAUAUAGUACUGUGAUGAUAUUUGUGCUGAUGGUGAAGGAUUGCUGUGCCAGUCCAGUGAGUUUCAAGACAAAUGUUUUGAAGAGUGGUGUAUAAAGUACCUAAAAGCCAUACUUGAGUAAAAGUAGAGAUAUUGCUCCAGGAAAACGACUUGGGCAAAAGUAAAAGGACAGUAGUAUUUAUUUGAAAAACAUUCAGAAUAUUGAUCAUUAUGAGCAGAUAUUUGUAGCUGCAGAACACAAGUGUUAGUUAUUUUGAGGCCUCGGGCAAACGCUACGGUGAGUAAGUGAAUAAAAUGAUAUCUAAAGCAUUUCUUUUUGGUUCACAGAGGUCGCAGAGCUCAGGACAGAGCUGAGCGUUAAUUAUAAAUAAGCACAGACAUACUGUAACAACCACACCAGUAUCUGCUCAUCAUCCAUGUAAGCAUCACAUCAGAACUCAAAGUCUUAUCAGUCAGACAGAAAUCAAGAAAACGUACGCGCACCAUCAACAUAACAGCUGUCCUUCUGCCACGUUUCUUAAGUUUAUUUCUGUUUACCACACUGUGCCCCCCACCAGUCUGCUCAUUAAUGCCAAUAGAUCCAGAAGAGCAGAGGUCCUCUGGUAACAUUUUGGAUAAUAAACCUAACGAAUGCAAUGUGGCGCCUUAUUUACAUUCAAAAUAUAUUAAAAACAAUAUGACAAAUACAGGCCUACCUCGCAUCUGCUGCUACCAUUAAACAAAAAAAUAAUUAUGAGUGUGAGACUAAAUUCAGUGCAUUAUUGCUCAACAUUAUUAAGGGAUUUACUUCCAUCACACUCUUUCAGAUAGUGUUAAUACAGUGUAGUGUGUGCUCUAUUUACCACUCAUCAUCUGCUUAUCCCUUUCUCUUUCUCUCUCUCUAUCUUCCUCUGGAGUCUCUCUCUCCUCUCCCCAUUUUUCACCAGCACCUGCCGUCUUUCUGUCUAUCUGAAUUACACCGCCUGCUGUAUGAUCACACAAUGACAUGCUAAUUAAACAUUAGCAUAGAAGAGCACAGUAAUGAAUAGAGAUGUGGAGCAUCUUAUUGGUUGACAUUUUUUGGAGAAGUUACCUCAACUUCCCAUCCUUACUGCUGUUCUGAAACAAACAUGAAGUGUCUUGUUAAGACGGCAGGCCACACUGUUGGUCCAAAAGCUUGGAGAAACAGCAUAAACCUUCAUUUUCUACCACAGACAUGGGCUGGUUGUCCAGUGAGAUGGAUUCAGCCGGUAUCUGUGAAAUCUUUUGGCCUUUUCGCUCUCUUCAGGAGAUCCGUCCUUCCUUUUUUAAAGGCCAGAGUUUGAUGCUUUGGGGGCAGCAUCUUUUCCCUCUGUUGCUUUAGUAAAUACAACUCAUUCUACUGCAUGUUCAGUUUUUAGAUGUUGAAGCAAAUUGUUAUAAUAACCGAGUAUUUUGGGGUUGCUGAACUGUAACAGCUGACGUUAACGAUCAGCCUGAGAUGAUCAGUUGAUAUUUCUGAUACCCAGUCAGUUAGAAAUGUGCAGAUUGGCUCCAAUCAGAAAUCACCCCCAGUAAACUAUGUUCAGAGAGAGAAUGUGCUUUUCAGACAAAACCGGUUUGUUCAUUUUUGCUCUAAAAAUAGGCCUUUUUGAAUAAGUGUGUACAUGGUUUCUAUGGUGCAGCCAGCCUCAGGGAUCUGCAGAUUCUAGCACUUCCUCAUCGGCUUCACUCACACACACACACACACACACACACACACACACACACACACACACACACACACACACACACACACACACACACACACACACACAUAAAGCAUAAAAACCCUCUGUUAUAAAUAAAAGCAACACCCCCCCACCCCCACCCCUUCUGUAUGCUAUACUGUAUGCCCCUCAUAUCGUUUCCCUUUUGUUUUUCAAUCUCACUACUAUAGUUUUUAUAUUCCUGUAACAAGAAAGAGAGAGAGAAAAAAAACUGCAAUAUAAAAAUACAAACAGAUAAGAAGAGAAAGGGUCUACUUAAGUUGGGAUAUCAGGAAAGAUUUGAAGUCUUAGCUGGUGGAAAUCCUGCUGUAAAAUUAUGUUAAUCUCUCUCUGAGACAGGAGAGGGGGGUUGAUCCAAAAAAAGCUUCUUUUUUUUCUUUUUUCUUUUUUUUAAAGAGAUCAACUGCAGCCAGAUUCAAAUGCAGUGCGAGUAUUUGCUAAAAGUGAAAUAACGGCAUCCCUCAAGUCCCAUGCAAACCAAAGGAUGAACCAAGGGUUGAGCAGCUCCUGGUUUCAGAUUUUGAAGAUUUAAUCUUGAGCAAAGUCACAGAGUUGUCUCAGGCUUUGAGGCUGUUUUCGGGGACUGCAGAAAUAUUUACUGUACCUGUCCUCUCUCAGCUGUAAUUAGUUUAGUCAGUUUGGAGAGAUUCAAAGGAGCACUUUGGGAUGAAGUGGAUUCUAGCUCAUGAGGUUAUAGUGACAACCACUCCCUUUACCCUCCUCCAGCAAACAUGUGUGAGAACCCACGCGAGUCCGUCUUAGGUUUUUCCAUUUAGCUGUCAGUGUAAGUUAGGUGACUCUAUAUAAAGAGCAGACUCAGAAACAUGCAGCAUGCACUCAGUCAGGGCGCUUCUGGUGACCACUUUAAAGAGCUAUAAAACCAAGAACCAUAUCUCUCUUUCCUUUAGUCAGUCUCCUUUGUUUGUUGUUUGUUUUACAGUAAAUUACCGUGACACUCUGCUCAUUUUAAGGGUUGGCGGAACAACACAGUAGACUCCUUAAAAAGGAGCUGCUAUCUCUGGGGAUUUUGAGGGUUAUUUAAAGGUGGUGGUAAUAAAUGUUUUGUUUUUUUUUGUUUUGUUUUUUUUUCAAAAAUCCAUAGAUCCCUACAACACCUCCAGUUCAGAUGUUUAAAUGCCACAUAGUCAUUUGUACCAUAUUUUUCUUGUUUUUGAUCUAAUUUUUUGCUCAUGCUGAAGCACUUAAUUAUUGAGGAGAGGCCACACACAGCAGUCAGCUGAGUUUCCCCACAACAACAGGUGUUUUGAAUAACAAUUCAAGUAUCUCUCUUCUUUUACACAAUGUUCUCCAAUGUUCUUCCUGAAGCAUGCCCGUGUUUUCCCUCCUCAUGGUUCAAUUCGUUCCACCUAUAACCAUUCUGGAUGUUAUUGUUAAUAUUAACAUCACAGCACACAUUGCUUUCUUGCCUUUCAUGAUAAGCCUGAUCAUUGUUAUUGCACCCACUUGCAACCUCAAUUAAAUUUAGAGGCUGCUUUGUCCUGGCUUUAAAGAGCCUCUGACUUCCUCCAGGGGCUUAAUCCCAUAAACCGCUAUGACCCACAGACAUCAUAACUUUAAGCUGCCAGUCAAGGCAGCAAUGUCAAACUACCCUCAAGUGGAAGCAAAGUGGAUACAGGUCUCUCUAAAUCUGUGUGUGCGUGUUUAAGUCAGUAGGACAUCACUCAGUGUAGAAGUAUUAAUACAUGACAUGAAAAAGUAUGGAGGUUGUGUCCAAUGAAGUUCUCUCUGUACCAAACCUGCUCUGGUUUAUCCUGAUUUGGAAAUGUGACAAAUGAACAACAUUUUACAGAGACAUAACAUUUUCUGGAAUUUCUAGCUGAUAUCCCCCAUUUUUCUUGAUUCUUCUCUUACCGCUCAGUCACAGGGCUGUGAAACCAAAUGCUGUGCUGCAAGAGUUUUCUGCUGAAGUUGGAAAAAAGGCACACACAAAAAAUAAAUAAAUAAAUAAAUGAAUAAACUUAAACAAAAUGUGGUGUUAAUGCAACAUGAAAUGCAACAAAAGCAGGCAGGAGAACUACGACAGAGUAUUAGGGCCACAUUGAAAAAAAAUACGACUUAGAGAUGAAAGUUGUUAAUUUAUGAGAAUAAAGACAUUACUAAUGAGAAUAAAGUCGUAAUAAAGUAAUUACUUACUCAAACCUGUUGUUUAAGAUGACAGUUGUUGAAAUGAGAGCCAUAGAGCAUUUUGUGAAAAUGUACUUCAAUAUAGGUUUCUCAAACAAGGAGAUACUUUAGGCACAUCGGCACCACAUUAUUAUAAGUAGCCUAUCGUAAUGAUUUUAUUACAACUUUAUUUUCAUAAGUAUUUACUUUAUAACGACUUUAUUGCCAUAAGUUAUGAUUUAAGUACGACUUAAUUCUCAUAAGUAAUUACUAUAUUACAACUUUAUUCUCUUAAGUUAUGAUUUUAUUAGGACUGUAUUCCCGUUGGUAAUGACUUUUUUCUCAUUAGUAAUGACUUUAUUCUCAUAAGUUAGUGACUUUACUCUCAAAGUGUUAAUUUUUUUUUCUUAAUGUGGCCCUAAUACUCUGUCAUAGGGGAGCAUCAAGUACAUGGAACAAUUCAUGAUUGUAAAUGUUUUUUUUAAAAAAUGAAACUGCUGCAUGAAACGUGAGACCCACGAAUAUAUUUCAAGAACUUUAAGCCUUGAAAAGAUGUACAACAAAAGGUUUGUAGCUUUGGUAUUCAGGAUGAUAAUGUUAUUCUAGGCAGGGAGGUUUUUUCCUCUACACACUCUAUCUUCCAUACAAGGACGCCUUAGUGUGUUAUGGUUUUAUAGCAUGGCAGCGUUCCACUGAAUACAGUAGGUUAUGUUGUAAUCGUGAUCAGCAAGAGUGGCCUCUACACCUGUUGGCCAAUCAGAAAUGAGUAGUUUCUGUGGUCACGGCCUCUGCGUCCAUUUAAUCAGACAUCUCAAAUGAACUGAAGUAAUAAGAUGGCCAGACUCACUUUUUACCUUCCUGAUAAUUUCUAUUAACAUAAUGUGCUUUAUCCUCUUAUCUUAAACCUUAAAUCAGCUUUCAGCCCAAAAGUAUUACUGAGCAUCAAACUCCAGUGUGUUCUCGCCCCACUACUUUAGAAAAAGUCAACUUUGUCCAAAUUUCUAACUUGAAUUUCUGAUAUUACUCUAACAGGCCUUGCCAUGAGUUGCGCCCUUUAUAUAUCAGAUCAGGUAUUUUCAUGUGUGUCCUGUGGUCUGUGGGACGUAUGGGUAGGAUAACAGUGUCAUCAAUAUACCAACCCAGACCUGAGGGCCUGCAAGCCAGGGAUUAGCCCCGGGAACAAAAGACAAAAACACCAACGUGUUUCUGUGAUGUUCCCAACAAGGGAUUAGAAGGUUCCCGCUGACCGGAUUAAAACAAUACCUACUGUUUUCUCUGUCCCUCUACACCAGCCCAUUUUAUCCUUUUUUCAGCUGUGAUAUUAAGAGAUGUUUUUGCUUUCUCUUCCUCUGUUUGGAUUUUUUUUUUCUGAUCUCUUUAUCCUCCUCCCGCUUUCUAAUGGUUAAACUGUGUUUGGGUUUCUCUCCUCCUUUGGAAGGAUUAUUACAAUCCUACUUAAUCCUGAAAUUCCACCUCAAUGCCACAUCUCCUAGUGAUGCUUUUAUUUAUGAAGAAAUACAUUUUGAUGAGGAAGUAAGAUAAGACUUUUUAGUAGGAUAGUUUUGAAAUGUACCUUCCAGCAGACAAAGAUUGAGUGAGACCUGAGGCAAUUAUGGUCAAUGAAAACCAACAGUAUCAUAAAAAGUAAAAGGUCAAAAAUAUUAAUGUUAGCUGAGAAAAAAAAAUGAGGCUUCACAAAAACACUAUAACUGAAACCGUAUUACAUGUUCAAAAUCACAGAAGGAUGUCCUUCAUUUUCACUUUGGCACACAAAGCAGAGCCAUGAAUAAAUUUUUGUUCAGACCUUUUUAACCACAAAUAUUGAAAUCUUUUUUACGUAUGAUUCUUUAUUUUGUCGGGUACAUUCAGAAACCUGGUUUAAGAUUUAACUCUGAAACAUUUACAAUACAGAGAUGACUUUUUCUCCACCUGCUGACUUUUAAUAUUUGACUGGACAUGUGCAAAGCAGCAGCUGCUCUCCAGAGAUUAUCAUGUUCAUAUUUUGCCAUUGAUGGUGAAGAAAAAUACAUUUUUAGGACACUGCUAUUCGGUUUGUACUACUGUGAGCAGGCCUGGUUAAACAGUAUGACUGCAGCAGGAAGGAAAGAUUCGCAGCACCUCUGUCACACACAGUGGCUGGAAAGCAGGCAAGUCCACAAAAGGUCUGCAGCAGUGAUCCAGAGGAACCUACAGGAUGAUGGAGUUCAGGGACUCCCAGAAAAGACUGUGGCUGUUUUCGAAUUGGCCUACUGCAUACUCCUGCCUACCGCAGUAUGCAGUAUGCAGUAUGACUGCAAGUCGGCUGUUAUUAUGUAGUAUGUGUGGCCUGGUUUCGCUGGUUUCCGGUAUGGAAAAGUCCAUCGUACCCUGGUAAAUUGCAACGACACUACAGUGUUGCCCAUUCAUUUACACACUAAGAAAAAAAAAAUCUUAGCCCAAUACCAGACCACAAAACGUGUUCUGUCUAUGCAAUGACUCGUUGGUCUGGUGGCAUUUGAUUCUCAUCAUUGUAAAUACAGCAAAGUUAUGUUACGUCAGUUAUGUUGUCCUCGUUUCGCUUAAAUGAAAGAAGUUGCAAUCCUCGCUUAACGCGUUUUUUGAUUGUGUCUGCGUAGUGUGGUCUUAUUUCCCUUUGUCCCAAUAGUUUGAUAACUACAGUUAAAACCCUCUAAUACAAACUUCUGUUUUCUGUCUACUAAUGAGAGCUUUCACUGUUACUCUUUACUGUUGAUGCACUGUGCUGCCAUCUUGGAUUAUGAUGUUGUUGCCAAGUCAGGGUUGGUGAGGUCAGAAUUCGACUUCAGGGGUGCGUUCCAGGUGAAUUUCCGACUUCCGAGUACAACUGGAACGCAGCAUAGAAGCAAACACUAACAUUAAUAUUAGACAUGAUAACCUUGGGGAGACCCCUGCUAAAAUGAAAAGAAGUCAAUGAUUUUCAAUAUUAGACCAAUGAUAAAUCAAUUAAACAUUAUUUUUCAAUGUCUUUACUGACAAUAAGGAAGAAUAAGUCGAGGAUCCUGUUAGGGAAGAAACAUAAUCAGCUGAAUUUUCCAGACACAGUGGAACUAAUUGAGUCAAUCAAAAACAAUUACCUUUCAAACCGGGCACACCAAAGAAUCGGACAAAGAAAAUUGGGUCAUUACUUUUAGGGGCGAACUGACACUAAAACUAAUCAAGGAAAGAAAAAGAUUUGUCAGAAGUAGGCUGUUGGUCUGCAGUGACGACAGGCUGGCUGGAUAAUAUGGAUGAUGGACUUCCUUCUCCAUUUGUGACAUGGAUUAUAGGAUUUAAACAAUACGCUGUGAGGAUACCUUAAUAGAAAAAAAUGAAGUGUGGCCAAGACUGAGGCUUAUUACUAUUUUCUCACAGUAGGGUCCAAAUGUAAUUAAAAUAUUGAGUGAUAGAGUUACAAUCAGUGUGACAGCCAGAGAUGAUAGCGGAUGUUGACACAGCUGAUAUGUGAUGAUGAGACGACUGGGCUGUGACCACACUGAUUGGUCUGAUGUAAUUGGAAUGUUGACAAAAAUAAACACCGGUUCUGGAGGGCACCAAUUAUUCUAAACGCCAGCCUGCCAGGGGAAAGCAAUCACACCCAGACAAGCCUCUGAGCUAUCAAUAAUCACACACACAUACACAUACACACACACGUGAAAAAAAGCCCAAAACAGAGAUGUUUACACAUAGAUAAGACCCCAUGACAACCUCUGCCAAAAACAAAAACAGGACUUUGUGCGAGGCUGCGAUUACAGGAAUAAACAAACAGCAAGAAUAAUCAGACAAAGAUCAACCUCCGAAGCAGGAGUAAUCAAACACAGAGUGCCUGGGGGGCAAAACUGCAAUAAUCAAAUGCAGACUGCCAUUCAAGCUUGUUCGCUGUCAGGCCAGCGGGGUAAUGAUAUGAUGAGGAUGAAGCAAUUCCUGGAUUCAGGAGCUGUUGCAAAGCCGAGCGGACACAAGUCAAUCAUGCCUGGAGGGUUGCUCCUGGUUACCUUAUGAUUGUGGAGUGGGAAAAAAAAGUUACAGAAUGUUUUCUUCUGUAAAAGAAGUUUAAAAAAAUGAAAGCCCACAUCUGCCAAUUAAAUUUCAGAGAAAUAGCCCAAAUUUUAUUGACAGGAGUAUUAUUGUUUGUUAGCCUAAACUAUCACCCAUGUGCCUGUUUCUUAACCUUCAAAUUCAUCAUUUGCUCCCUCUGACAUGCAGUUUCCCUAGAUUGACACUUCUGGUGAGCCAUGGGGGGGAUUCGCUUCUGUCAAACAGACUCUUUCUGACAAUUCAGCACUAGCGGGCAUGUCCAAUCUUGAAGAUUCGUGGAAGGACACAGUUAGUAUGGUGCAGGACAAUGCUGAAGUGUUCACUCUCCUUUUUUGUUUGCUCUACAUAACAUUUAUUCUUGUAUGCCUCAGUCCUGGUCUUUGCCUGUGUGUGUGUUUUUGUGUUUGUGUGUGCACGUGUGAAUGUGUUACAUGUGUCUGUUUGGGAAAGCGUGACAUCACCUUCCUACCAUCGCAAUCAAAUGUCUCACGCUUCUCCCAAAUGUUCCUGACCUUCCUCAAAUAAACCUAUCAUCUGUGAUCAAGAGCUGUCUCAUCCUUUCUCCUACAUUCAUUGUGACAUGUACACACUUACUCUCUCUCUCUCGCUCACUCAUGUACACUGGGAACUUUUCAUGCAAGACUUUUUCUUUUUCCCUGUGGACUUAAACACACUCAGUUAUUUAGACAAGUAGGUAGGUAGAUGUUUGAUAGAUAGAUAGAUAGAUAGAUAGAUAGAUAGAUAGAUAGAUAGAUAGAUAGAUAGAUAGAUAGAUAGAUAGAUAGAUAGAUAGAUUCUUAAAGAAUAAUAUUAAAUAGGUUAGAAAAUGGUGUUAGUAAUUCUUUUUCUUCUUCUGCCUCUUGCAAACACUCACACAAACAUACGGCCUGUAUCUCUCUCCAUUGCACUGUGCUCUCUGCUCCCCCUCAGUCCCUGGGCGAGAUUAUUAUAGACAAAUGAGAGAGUGAGCUGGAGUGAGAGCAGAAGGAGCUUGGUUUUUGUCAGUGGGUCACACGGUGGUGGCAUGGUUAACUAGCUAAUAUGAUUAAAUUUAGCAGAGGCACAAGUCACAUUGUAAGCCCACAUCAAAGUCUACCCGCUACUGCGAGAGCGAAACGAGCCCUCUGUGAAAACCGAGAGAGGGAGAGAGAGAGAGAGAGAGAUGAGGGAGAGAGAUGCGCAGACGAGGAAAAGAGUAAUGUUUUAAACAUAAAACAGAAACAGAAUGGUAAAGAACGAUGAGGCAAUAAUGAGGCAAGAGGAGAAGUGUUAGCUUAACCCAUCAAGUGAACUGCAUGACCUGGAAAGUAGCAGUUAACAGCAAAUCCAUGUCUGUUUCCUUCUGAGCACAAAUGAAGGGUCAUUGACAAACACUUAUGAUGUCAAGUAUGAAACCAGCUCGCUGACCUUGUGGUUUGAUUAUCUGCCUUGAGACUGAGAGUUUGUAAGCACACUUCUCAGAUGGUUUAUUGCGAGGAAUAUGAAAUUGCCUCUAGAGUUGAGGGUUACAAUUGAACUCUGCAGCUGAAAGAGAUAACUGAUUCAACAUGAAGAAACUCGGGGACUAUGGUGUUCGCUGUAUUUAAGACUGCUGAACAUUUUUUCUGAGUUUUACCUCUUUUCAGAACAUGCUCACUCAGUAACAGAGUGUGCCUCAUCGAGGAGCCUAUAAUAAAACCUUUAUAAAUAAAUAAAACAAAGAGAUGGAAAUUCAUGGGUCCUUCUUACCAAAAUGAAAGAACGACAGCAUAUUUCCUCAAAUCUGAAUUCCUUCAUAAUGACGAAUGUUUUACUGGAGGACUUUUUCCUGACUAACUUUCUAACCCUGCAAUGUUACACUUUUAUCAUGUGAUGAAUUACCGGAAAGCAGUCGCUUUGUAAUGAUCGUCUUUGAAUUGAAGGUCUUGAUUAACUCAGUUGCUCAAAAUCAGAAAACAGAGAGGACGUCUGGCAAGAAAGAAGAUCGAAUCAAAUGUUUGUUCUGGCAAAAAGAAUAAUUAUGAUUUCCCCAAUAACUAUUGGUAAAAAAUAAUGGAAAUUAUCAACUCAUGUAUGUACAUUACCUAAAUAUGCAAGGCCAUUACAGGCCGAUCAGUUGGGAGUACCUCCCAAGUUUUUGUUCAUAAUGAUUUUUUUUAAAUCCAGCAUGAGUUUUAUGUAUUUUGGGAUGUAUUUACUCCAUGAUCAGAUGUUGCGUUCAUGGAAAUGCACCAUUUUACUCCAUUUACCUUUAGAUAUACAUUGAUGUUUACAGACCAUUGCUAAAUAUAUGUCAGCAAAAGAUAAUAAGGGCUUAGUUUUAGGGUUGAAAACAUUAGCAAGAGUCACAACUUCAGUGCAAAAGCAAAAAAAAAAAAAAAAAAAAAUCACAGUUGGAUUAUUCACUUCAACUUUUUGGCUUUUGAGAGUCUGCAUACAAAAAUCCUAAUAAAUCUCAACUGCGUUUAAACUACUGCAAAAAUGGCUAGAGAGAAGCAACUGAGUAAAGAAACAAAAGUACAGAUUUGUACAUUGAGAAAAGAAGGAUACACAGAAAGAGAAAUUGCUAAACACUUAAAAGUGUUUAACAAAGGAGUCCACUACACUCUAGAGGAACCUGGAAGUUAUGAUGAUAGGAAAAGACCUGGACGAAAGAGAGUUACUACAAAAGCAGAGGAUAAACAUAGCAUUGUUACCAGUAAGAGUGAUCGGCGAAAGACAGCACCAAAAAUAAGGGAGGAAAUCAACAUGACAAGGUCGAAACCCAUGUCUCUGACAACGGUGAAAAGACAUUUGAGAAAGGCUGGUCUGAAGGGUUGUGUAUCUGCAAAAAAACUACUUCGUCCACAGAACAAGAAAAAGAGAUAUGAGUGGGCAAAAGCUCACAAAAAUUGGACUUAUGAUGACUAAAAACAAGUUUGAACUGUUUGGUUCAAAACGCAGAGUCUAUGUCCGCAGACAAACUGGUGAACGUCUGAAAACACCAUGUGUGGUAGUUCCAUGGUAUGGGGAUGUUUUGCAGGUGACGGAGUAGGAGAUUUGUUUGAAGUAAAGGGUAUCAUGAAGAAGGAACAGUACCACUCCAUCCUCCAGCACCAUGCUGUUCCAUCUGGACUCAGACUUGUGGCUCAUAAGUUUGUUUUGCAGCAAGACAAUGACGCAAAGCACUCUUCCAAGCUCUGUCAGGGUUACCUAGACAAAAAAGAAGAGGAAGGUGUUCUUCAAAAGAUGGUUUGGCCCCCUCAGUCUCCAGACCUUUCUCCAAUUGAGCUUGUGUGGGAUGAAUUGGAUCGAUCGGUCAGAAAAAUGCUUCCCACGAAUCAGCAGUCCCUUUUUAAUUAAAGAAAGCGUGGAAUGAAAUCCCUGGAACAUACCUUAAAAAACUUGUGGAACGAAUGCCUGGUAUAUGCCAAGCUGUUGUUAAAGCCGGAGGAGGUUACUUUAAAGAAAGUAAAGUCUAAGCAACAAUAACUCAAAUACCUAAUAAUUAUAGUCAACAUGUCUUCUGAUAAAUUACUCUUUGCACAAUAGUCAUGUUUAUUGUAUUGCAAAUUAUAUAUAUGAAACUAUGAUCUUUUUUUGUACAAAUCUGAUCUUGCUUCCAAACUUUUGGCCAGUAGUGUACAUGGCUCUGAUAUGGGGCUUGAUCUGGCCUUAAAUCUAGGAAAUCCAAAUUUGUGAUUAUUAUACCCGGUAUGUAUUGAUUAACAUAUUUGCGACCAAAGAUGAUACAUCACCCUGGUUAAUGCUUAUGGUAAGAGGUGAUGUGAAGCAGACCCAAAUCUGAACUAAUUGAUUCAAAAUGUUGAUUUAAAUAAGUUUCUUAAUGUUUUUAAAAAUGAUAUGUUUAUCCUGCUUCAAAAAAAAGUCCAUCUGAAUUCAUGGUUAGUCACGCUACUGUGGGCAAAUGUUAGCAGUAGCUCAGCUUGGAGCCUUUUAUGUACUGCCGUUAGGGUUGAAGCCCAGAAGUGAAAAUGUGUUCAGCGUUUGUUGUUUGAGAAGAAAAGACCUUUGCCAGGAAAAGCCUCAUGGUCUAAUAAUGGAGCAGUUCGAAAACUAAAAGGUUACAGCUCUACUUAUAAAAUCCAAUCUGACUUUUGUCUUUCACUCGUGUUUGAGUCUGCAGACUAGCUCACUGUGUGAUUCUGCGGUCACAGUUUUAUGGUCAGGUUUAGUUUUCACGAGUAUCUAUUGAGAAAGGAUACUUUGCUAAGUCAUGAUUGAGUUGUCGUGUCUAUUAAGAGUGCAGUAGUGUGAUUUAACAUGACUAGAGGAAACAGCUCUUCACAGCUUUAAAAGUCCUUGGAUCAAUACGGUGCCAACAGUUUCUGAUCAAUGUGGCAAUGGAGUCGAGUUUCAGGUAUAGAGAUGCAGAAAGACAACCAGGAUUUCUCCAGAUUUGUGAAAAAGCUGCUUUUAUGAUUGUUGACGUUCAGCAAUAAUCCUCCUUUUUUGUAUGGUAAAAUGGGAGCAAUAAAAUUUCAGAUUCCUAAGUGAAAGCAGAACAUAAGUUUGUUAAGUUUUUAUUUAAUAAUUUACGUUUGUUGAGUUAGAGCAAUUGCAGCAGCUGUUACAUUGAUCUUGCCAAUAUUCUGCAUUUUGGCUUUAACAGAAGAUUUUGUCCCUGUUCCCAAUAAAGCUUUUAUGAGCUCAGCAUCUUCUCACUUUUGUUUAAAUCUUACAAUAGGCUAUUCUUUUGCAGUAAAUAUGUUGGUAUUCUUUACAUUUGAACUUGUGUCCUGGGAACCAAAUGCAGCUUGCACAAAGCAGAAUGACCUCAGAGAUUUACUAAAACACCGGGCUUUCUGGUGUGGGGGAGUUAGAGAGGAAGCCAGGAUGGCUGGGAGCAGGUAAAAAGCAGGCUGACGGUGAAGUUCAAGGUGAACAAAAAACUCUGAAAAAUACCAUCAGGCAAAAUAAGAACAAAGCAACUGGGAACAGGGUGACUCGAAAUAAGCUGGCAGUGGAACAAAAGGAACAAAGUGAAGUUAGGGACAGGAGGGGAGCCGGGUGAAUACGUUGCAGGGACAGUCAGGAAUGAAGCAGAAAAGUCAGAGACCUGUUGGAGAUGGGUGGAAAGAUUAUUCAAAGAGGUGUGGGAUUUGGGUACACACUGAAGAGGAAUAUUAUCGACAUGGAUGGCCUCUGUCUCCAAUAUCCAGUGCUGAUGGGUGCUGAUACACUAUCCUGGCAACGCUGCAUGUCAAAUUCAGCCAUUCAGGCCAAAUUCAACGAUUGGGGGCCAGCAGGGUCAAGUGUCUUGCCUGGAGACACUUUGGCAUGUGAACAGCAUGACCCCUGACCUUCGACAUGUUUUUUUUCUAUUUUCUACUCUGGCCCAUGUUUCAUCAGUCACAAUGGAUGGGACCAUCUGUAUGACCUACAGUAUAUCUGAGCCAAUUACCAGGGGGACUUCUAAAAGUUUUGGUUUCAGCUCAGAUGCUGUGCUGUCAGUGCUUUUAUACAGUCUAUGGAGGGGGGAGAAGAGGAGGUCGGACCUAUAAGUGUUUAGGUGUUUACAGUUCAGAGAGCACCGGCAUACUGCUAAUAGACUAAUGCAACACUCCACAUAAUCAUCCUCUCGCUAAUCUCACUACAAUUUCAGCCAUUAGCUUGCAUCAGAGAGAAGAACAAUUGGGAUGAAGUACUGACUGUAUUUAUAGGCUGUGACUUUCUGUAAUGGUGCAGAAAUGCUAAAUGAAGCUGUAAACGUUUAAAUGAACAGGCUGAUUCAGUUGAGUGGCACAGCAGAUACAAUUUCUCUCUGCCUCAAUAAGUCUUUCUUAUUUAUACUGAUGAGUUUCCCUGAUACAUGUCAAUGACAAUGUGACAUCCAGCUACUAGGAUUGGCAUCAGUUUCAUAUUUGGCAUUUGAUGUUCAUUACUGCUCUUUUUGUCAUUAGAUCUGUGUCAAAGCCUCAGUUCAGCAAUACAUUACAGAGCAUAUUCAGUAAAACCAUUUGUAGUUUGGUUCAGCUCUUUAUCAGCGAAGAUUACCAUGCAGCUGUGUCUACAGAGACCUUAAUACCUGUCCAGUGUGGCUGUCACAGCUGACAGAGUUAAGGACUGCUCUCACAGUGCUGUAUAGCUGCUCUCUUUACAAACACAUACUUUUGUCUGAAGUAAAAGACAGAAAGUACAGCCAUUGUGGCCAUAGGGAGAGUGUUUUGUUUCUUGACUUGGAGUAAGGAUCGUUUCUCUAUAUUACCUUUUAUCCGUGUGUGUAAUGAAUUUUCCUCGCCUUAAUAUAUCAGCUCAGACAGCACAAUAGCAUUGAAUUGUUGGGGGAGUCUCGGCUGAAUAAUGAGGCAAGAAAUGCAGAUAUUACACAAGUAAAAACAUCGAGAGUGAAAUGUUGCAUAAUUCAACACUAGGUACAACCUUCAUCAAUUUCUGAUCUGCUAAAUUUUACUGGGUUAGAGAGGACAAUGUUAAGACUCAAAGUAAUGAAUAAAGUAUUAUUGAGUAAAAGUUAAUGAUUAAAACUGAAGUGUUUUUAGUUUUCAUCAACUAGAAUUAGACUAAAAGGCAAAACAAACUAUAAUCAGACCAAAACUAAGAUGAAUUUAUAUAAUAAUAUUAUACAAUAGUAAAUUUUAUUUGUACAAACGGAUCAAAACAGAUGUAACAUGCUUUACAAACAUAAAAAAAACAGUCUAGCUGCUGAAUUUUUGACUAAUUGGAGGUGACAUCACAGUUUUUCUAAAAACAUAAAUUAUCUUUUGUGUGUCAUUAAAGGUUAGUAUGGAUCCCUUCUUAUGGUAUUUGGGAGAUGAUAAAAGUAUGAUUGAACAACUGUGUUUCCAUAUGUCUAAAAAGUGAGGCUGCUGUAAAAAGUAACUCAGAUAUUUAGAACAUUUAAUGUUACAUUAAGAGAGAGAGAGAGCCAACGGAGGACAGAAUUUUGGGUUGUAACUUCAUCUGCCUGAUAAUGAGUUUCAAUUUGGUCUGGGUUUCAAUUUAAAGAAAUUUGCUGCCAUCCAGCUUUUAAUAGCAGUGAAACAGUUGGAAAGGUCUUUUUAGUUGCCUGGAUCGACAGGCAGAUACAGCUGAGUGUCAUCAGCGUAGCAAUUACAUUAAAUAUGGUAUCUCUGUGUAGCAGUAUGAUAUGCUGCUCUGACUGAAUGCAUGCGAGCAUGCCUUUUCACCCCUGCAGGGUGGCUGGACUCCGCCUCAGAGAAAGGGUGAGAAGUGCAGUCAUCCAGGAGGGCCUCUGAGUAGAGCCGCUGCUUCUCCACAUUGAGAGGAGUCAGAUGAGGCUGGUUGGGCAUUUAACCAAGAUUCCUCCCCAUUGAUCCCUUGGUGAGGUGCUCUGGGCAAGUCCCACCAGUAGAAGACCAAGGGAAAGACCCAGGACACGCUGGAGAGACUAUAGGCCAAUCCCAGCUGUCAUUCUUUGCCCUUCCCCUUUGUCUAUCCCUACCCUAUAGCCGCCUGUUUUGAUGGCCAAGGGAAAGGGGUGAAAACCCGCCCCUAAGAAACAAGACGCCACUUGAUUCUCACAACUUCAUCAUGCCUUGCCGCUGGCUGUGUUGUAGGCCAAUGCCUACUGUUGUAACGUUUUACUGUUGUUAGCUGUUAUGGGUAAUAACAGUUGAAAAUAUCGCAAAAUACGUUCUUUUACUCAUGCAAGAGCAUACAUAAAAGCUCCUGAUGUUCUACCUUAGAGGUUAUUAAUGUACUGGAUGUAGCUUAGCUGUCUGAUCAUUCUGUCUGAUCAUUUAUGAAAUUCAGUACACUUUAGUGAAGUCUGUCUGCUGGGAAUUUGUCACCCGAGUCUGACAUUAGUGUAGCCAUCAAUAGCUAUAGCUUGGUCAGCUAGCUUGUCAUAACACGGAAUUUUAAAAUGCUAACAAUUCAAAAGAUAGCUAAUACUUACAUGCAGUAACAAAGGAUAUAAUAUCUGAUAAAAAAGUAAAUAAAAAUAAGUAUCAUUACUGUAAAAAUCAUAUCACACACAAUCUUACCCCUUGCUUCCAAAUGAGGUCCCAGUUUGUCUUUUUUCAAGGGCUGUGUACCCCUUGCCCAUAGCCCUUCCCCUUAACCUUGCUUGAUGUGAACUCGCAAAACCAAAGGCUAAGGGGUAAGACAAGGGCUAAGGGGAAAAUUGGGAUUGGCCCUAUGUCUCUUGGGUGGGUUCCUCCGGGAAGAGCUAGACAAAAUGGCUAUUGAUAGGGAAGUCUGGGCUUCCUUGCUUCCCAAGACCUGACUCUGGAUCAGCGGUAGAAGAUGGAUAGAUGGAUGAAUCUUGCCAGUGUUCAGAAGUAGUUUGUUUGAAGAAUCUCAUCAUAAUGUACACACCUCGGCAGUAGCCCUGGUGGCCCUUUAGGAAUUUCACUGGGGGAAUUUUCUAGUUGUUCUCAACACUGAAUUUACUUGUUAUUUAAGAAUAAAAUCUGAAUGGUUGAAACCACGUCCAACAAACGUGUGUCCAUACGGGUUCGGCACAAUACCUGCUUUAGUUUGUGUUAUGCAGCUUGCUAACGUGUUACACUGAGAAGAACUAAAGUGUGAAUAAAGCUGAAUCAUAAUCAUCACUGCUCCACAAACAUCAUCAAACUUCACCUUCAGACUCAUAGAAACACAAGCACAAACCGUUCCCUUGUGCUCGGUUGCGAAUUAUGAGAGCUUUGAACCCUCUCAGAAUAAAUUGGGUUGCAGUCAAUACGAAACACUGUUAUUCUGACACAUUUUAACUCAGGCAGAAAAUGUGAAAGCUGUUGAAACAUUAUCUGAACAGAAACUCAAACCCAAAACAAAAUGAUUAGCAGAAGAAACAGAAAAUGGACAGGAGGCAGAGCUAUGUUUUUUUUUUCAACAACAGGCGCUGAGUCAAAUGGGACAUGAGCCAGAGGAGCAGGAUCAUUAAACCUUCCUUUAUGCAGGAGAUCUCAAUGAGACAUGGGUCUAACUUUCAAGAGAGACCUAUGAUCCAUGACAUCCACGAUAUCUGUAAGUCCUGUCAAGUUUCUGUCUGAUAAUCGUUGAAGAUACAGGCUGUGAAUCUGUGAAUUCAAACCGAAGUAAACCAUUUGCAGUGGCUGCUGGCUGUUUAGUCGGGUCUGGAUAUGCAUUAUCACAUGCAUUCAUUAGUUGUUCAGGGUUUUUGCUGUUGAGCUCAUUUGUUAAUGUUUUGUUGUAGUUUUCUGUUCCUGCUCAUUCUGUUCUUGUGCCAAUUUGAAGCAGUGGAGACACAAAUGCAUACUAAACUCCUUAUUGAUAUUCAAAACAGUGUGUUACAUUAGCGCAAGCGAACUUACACAUUCCCCUCUUUGUGUUUGCAAACGCAACACUGAGCCCUGACAUUAUGGUAAAGGUUCAUGUUUUAGAUAUUUAAAUGAAUACAUUAAUUAUCUUUCUUAGCAGGAUUUUCGCUGCAUCCCUCAUAUAUGCUGGUCUUCAAACAGUGCAAACAGGGUAUACAGCUUAGCUUUGACACCCCCCCAAUACAUACAUUAACUCAUGUUUUGAAUAUUAAAUAGAGUCGACUAAAAAAAAAAAAAUAGCUGGGUGUUUUUUUCCACAGAGCUUAUCUAAUGUUCCUGUCAGAGAGCAAAAUUAGUGAUCCCACACUAGAAGCUGUUUCUCACAUCUUUCAGCUCAUUUUUGUAAUCACUUACUCCACAUUUUCCACCUCUUUACUUUCGGUGGUACCAUCUAUUUUGCCCCUCUCCCCUAAAGCACAUUCAGUCUGCUCUGCUCUCCCAGCACUGAGUGAAGGACACAGAGGACUGCCAGUCUGGUCCUCAUUAUAACAAUAUGUGUGAUACCUUUUACAGUUGUCAGAGUGAGGGGGUAAAUCUGGCCGCACUGCCCCCUCUGGCAGGAGGCCUGUCACAUCAAUGACCAGUGCUUCUUUCUGAUUCGCUGUCGCCCACGGUAACAGACUGAUUCUAAUCUGUGCCUGAGCCCUCUGCACUAAGAUAAUUAAAAACAUCACUUUUACAAGCAGAACACACAAAAAUCUUUUCCUUUUUUUUGAAGCAUUUCAUUUUUUUUUUUUUUUCCCCCUUAUUGUUGGUUGACAGGUAUCACAGCUUUUAUAAAUACCCAACUCAGGAUGUGACAUGAUGAUGCAUGCAUCAGGAGAAAAUUGAAGGGAAAGUGACAGUUCUUACUUCAAUUCUUUGGAGAUAACUGCAGUGUUUACGGGUAAACCGUCAAAUAAUGCACCUGACAUUUCAGGGCUUUAGUCAGUUUAGGGACUGCAACAGUUGGGAAAUCUUAUUAAUGUUUGCUGUAAGCCUCAAUGAUUAUGAAAUCACAGAGGAUUAUAGAAAAGUGUUCACAAGAAUGUCAGUAAAUGUUAAUUGCAUCCAGUGGGAAGAGAUAUAUUAGAUGGAGACCAAAAUACUAAAAAUGCAGUUCAUAAAACAAUGACAUACACCUCCUGACAGGGCUCAUAACCAACACUGUAUAUCAAUUUAUUGAUCUAUCGAUAGCCCAAUCCCCACACUGCUUCAAUUUACUAGAUUGUAUAUCACACUUACACACAAACAACUUCAGGCAGGUGCAAAGGCGAGCACGCACACACACACAAAUACAAGCACACACACACACACACACGAGUGUGCACACAAACACUUUAUAUCUCUCCCACGCACACACAGAUGCACACAGUGACAGGACUGACUAACAUAAUUCACCAGGUGGGAGGAAAAAUGCUCUAUAACAAAAAUGUCAAGGUGUUUUAAGAAUGAAAUAUGUUUGGGCACACAACAGCAGUUGAUGAAAUGUGACCUUGACUUCUUCUUUUUUCCAUUUUUGUUGCAUGGGAAUAAUGAAUAGUGCUGGGUCAGGAGAAAAGAGGAAAGGGAAAAAAGCAAAUAGAGGAGCCACAUUGAAACAUUUUUAUGGUUAUUAGAAUCAGUUGUCGGCACCAGGGAAUAAAAAAUGAGUUUUAAAUGUGACACUGUAUGCAUAAGUUGCUGGAUAACACUGAGAAGCAGCUAACUACUAACACAGAUCAUUCUCUGUUUAUAAUAACUCUUACUAAUUACUUUUCAGGAUCGAUGAAACCUGCAAAUUGAAUGGAACUGUUCUUUAAGCAGAAUUUAUAGCACAAUACAUAUGAGUGUGUGUGCCUGUGUAUGUGUGUACGAGAGAGAGAGAGAGAGAGUGUGUGUGUGUGUGUGUGAGUUUGUGUUAUCAGCCCACACUGCAAUUGACCCCUCUUUGGAAGUUUCACUGGGCGAAAUGUGAGUUUUAGGCAAGAAAAAAGAAGAAGUUAAUUAGAUGCUGAUCCUGUUGAGGACAUUUACCUUCAGAUAUUAUUUCUCAUAAUUAAGAAGUUCUUAACACAUCAACCCUAAUCAUCAAACAUGCACUUUGUUAACUCACUGAGGCUGUGUUUGGUCCAUGUUUGCUUGCUUUAAUAUUGAGGCUAAAACUAAAUAAAAAAGUAUAUUGCUCCAUGAAGAAUAGAUGUUUGCUUAAAGUUUGUGCAUGUUUGCCAUUUUCUUGCAUCAUCUCUUCUUUUAACAGCACUGUAAAUAUUUGAAACCAGAGAGACCAGUUUUUGGAGAUCUAAGACGCAUUUUUGUUCCUUUCUUGUCUGUUACAUUAUUCCAGUUGCUCAACGCUUGGAGUCUGCAGGAGGGCUCCUCUGCUACAGCGAUGUGUUGUUGUAAUGUGUGAAGUUGUUUGGCCUUGUCUCUCUGAAAUAUGCAGGGUCUUUGUUGAAAAAAAAGCAUUUUCUGGAAGGCAGCAGCAUAUUUUGCCCAAAACCUGUAUAUCUUUGUCAGGACUAAUGGUGCCCUACCAGAUGUGUACGCUCCCCGUGUUACGGACACUCGUGCAUCCUCACAUGUCAUCACAGAUGCUGACUUUUGAACCAUGUGCUGAUAACAAGCUGGGUGGUCCUCCUCCUCUUUAAGCCCAGUUUAUGCUGCAUUGGACCAACACUGCACCAGAUACUGUACGUCUGUGUAGCCGCGUCAUACACAGAAGCAAACACGUAGCCUGAAAUGCGCCUCCAUUAAAAUUUAACUACAUGUCAAAACAACAGAAACCUGAAGCCACCAUUCCUUGUCCUCUAUACCCUUAAAAUCCACCUUCAAAGCCUCUUUUUUUCAUAAGUACACAAACAAAGAGGGGAUUUAGCCAGAUCCGAAAUUGGCAACGUAAAACACACAAGUUUGUAGUGCUCACAAUGGUGUCAGCCACUACAGCGUUGCCAUGGUGUAGAGUCAAGGCAGAAGUAUAAAGCAGAUUUGAGAGCUGAGGACACAGUGUCCAUGAAUCAAAUCAAGAAAUAUCAAGAAAUUUUAGUUUUUGGUACCACAGGACAGUUUCUCUCAGUCCGUCUUACUGUAAAAUAGUUUAGGCCCAGAUCAGUCAGGCAGACAGUUAUUCGAGCUCAUACAUGGUUUCCUCUUUGCAUGCUACAGUUUUCACCUGCAUACGUAUUUGCAGUGACAGCGUUCACAGACAAAGGUAGUGCGGCGAUUUCCACUUCAGAGUCACGUCUGUUUUUCAUACAGUGCAGCCUGAGCAUCUUUGAAGCUGUGUGGUGAUCACAGCCCUCUCUCGUCUUUUAUGUGGAGGGGACAUUGGUCAUGAUUAUGAAAAAAAGGUGCUAUUCAAAUUCCCACCCCACAAGACUCUUUUCUCACUCUUCUUUACAGGACUUGGGCUCGAAAAGAUUUAUUGAUGUUUCUGGUUCCUGUUUAUGAAUGAUUAAGUCCUGAGGGCUCAAAGAUCACGGCCAUGGUAUUAGUUUUUUAUCCUCCUCAUUUUUGUACAAAAAUUUCUCCAGAUUCUCAGAAUCUUUAAUGGCUGUGUAAAUAUGUACAACAAGUGAAGAAAUACCGAUAACAAAUUAUCAAAAUAUGACUUUGGUGUCCACCCAGACACAGGAUUGUUGUGUGUCUCUUCCUUUGUCUUGUCCCCACUUAUCUAGCUGGCAUGAAUUCAUUAUGCUCAAACUCAGUUACACUAAAACAUUACCUCUUGUAUUCACCUAUCUGUUUUAUUUGAGGAGUGCUCUCAAGUUCGUCACAUUUCUUCGUUUGCUGCUAAUUUUGGUUAACUGUCUCCACACACCAAGCACGAGUAAAAUCAUUCCCACGACUAAAUUACAUGUUAAGUCAUGCAAAGAUGAUUAGACGCUCGUACUACUCUGGCGGCACGAAUGAUGCGAAUUUGGCGGGAGCUGAAAAUGUCUCAACUUGAGCACUUGACGUGUGAAAACAGACAAAGGACAAACUGCUCAUGUCGGUGCCCCAAAUUAUAUGAUACGUUUUCUUUCAAUUACCGAAACCGGAAUAAAUAGGAGCUCACCUGAAGGCAAGUGAGUGAGGAGGUCGGAUUACCUGAAAAGUUGUAAAAAAAAACCUUUGUCUAUCACUUGAUCCUGCUGGUUGAAUUGGCAGGGAUUACCGUUAGAAUUACUGUUGAUGCAUGAAUGAAGUGAGUACAUACACUUGGUGUGAGCGCCACAUUAGAGUCCCCACCAUGACCCUCUCUCCUAGUGACUCCAUUAUAGGCCCUGUGUGUUGCCCUUUCUCUGCCCAUUUCUCUGGCUCCUUCACCUAAUUCACCUCACCUCUUCUAAAAUACCUACCACUUUCCCCCUCCCCUCAUUCCCUCCCUUCUUUUCCCAAUCAAAUAUCAUUUCCCUAUGGGACCAGGACCCUACCUCAUAAAAGAGUCAUCAGCGGUGCGUAGGUCUUAUUAACAAGCAAUCUGUUUGAGCAGCCAGCAAAAAGGUCAUGGCAACAGCUAACAAGGGACAGAGGGAGGGUUAAGGGCUAGUUUGAAAUAGGGAAUUUAAAAUUGAAAGUAAGAGGGCACAAAAAACUGAGAGAAACUUAAAGAGGGGACCAUUUUUAUCAUUACACAGAGCACACAAAUUAAUUUCAAAUACACUGGUACAAAGACUUGGCUGUUUAAUAAUACAAAAAGUGUAUUUUUGCCAAAGACAGCAGCAUUUUUAGAGCCAUAAUCUCAGGUGCAAGAUCUAGACAGAGGUCUCAACUGAGGUCUUCUGAAUCCACAGUCUAGUUCAAUGGGAAAGUGAUUUGUGAACACUCACAGCCAUCAAAUCCUAUUAUGGCCGCUGCAAAUUCUCUCAUAAUGACUUUACGGAGACAUCCAAUGGUAAAAUCAAUCAUAGAUCCAUGCACUUAUUGAGAAGCCAUCAGAGCCGGAGACGAAAGUAAGGUGAGAGGAUCAAUGUGGUAUAGCAACAGUGAAACGCACAUUGGAGGGUAGGGUGGCAGUGGGCUGCUGAAGAGGUCAAUGGAUGGCCCGUGCUGGAGACAAAGAGAAGUGAAGCCGAUGAUGAGAUGGACUUUUACUGUAGCAACAGGGUGAAUCAAUAUCCCUCCAAAAAUGAUGGCGUAGUGGGUGUGCUUUGACUGCGGGUCUGUGUUCAUGAUAACGCUCCCAUAACAGUGAUGUACAAGCAUAUGUGCUGGUCUUGGGCACAAACAUGUCUGUCCAGCUGGCCUUGAAAAAGCUGCGGGGUGGGCAUGUCCUCCAAGAUUCUUGGAGUAGAAAGCAGAGCCUGACAUCAGGUUACCUCCAAGUAUUGUGAGGUUCUCAGAAUGAGUUGUUCAGAGAAGCAGGAAAAUACACAAAUGUCCAGAACACAUGAAAUACAGAUCGGCUUGUUAAAAAUCAUAGACAUCUUUACCCUUAUAUGAUCUUGACCAGUUUGGAGCCAUAAUAUGACACCCAAGGUUGAACUGAUUUUAUGUACACUCGUGGGGAUUGACAUAAUUUGAAAUAAUGAGUAUUAAACAUAUGUAAUAGAUAUGUUCACAUGUCCUAUUGUGUACGGGGGGAACCCAAGGACAAGCUGACAAAAGAAUAGGCCUGGGAUGAUCACAAAUUUUGCUAGACGAUAUAUUGUCCCACAAAUUAUUAAAGAUAAAUGAUAUUAUUGUCAACAUUAUUGAGACCGAAAUAACCAGUUAUGUAAUGCACAUAUUUUUUUAGAGGGCAAUUCGUAUUGUUGGUCAAAAGUUUGUAUCGUUUCUCAAAACGCUGGCUUUUCAACCAUACAAAAUGGCAGCAUUUUGUAGGCAAUGUAGCAACUACACUUUAUGAGUGCACACCAUUAUGCACUGUUCCAACUGUACUUGCUUUGUCAACCAAACGCUUUAUAAGGGUUGACUGUUGGGUCGACGACUCUGCAUCUCAGGGUGCAGUUUUUUUCUCCAGCUGGGAAAACUUGACCGGGUGAUAGUGUUUGAGGUGGGCAUGCAAGUUUGUUGUGUUUCGUUUUUUUGUUGCUAUAAUUUUUAUACCAAGCCGGCACACUGGCUCAUCUGUGUUGAUGCUCCCACCUUGCUUAUUGGGCUUGAAGCCGAAAUAUUCCCACAUCGGGGCUGUGGUAUUUCGCUUUGCAAUAAGCUCUUCCAUGCUCCCGCUCACUAGCUACUGCGGUCUUUGUAUGCUCCACGGUGCCUCCCCCCACAGAUACAAAGAUCCUGAAUGUCUGACAAGAUGGUUCACUUCCUUCAUUUCAUUCCGCUGAGGCACCAACGUACCGAGGUGCUGAGACCAAUGCACAGAGUGAACCCUCUUGUCAUCAGGCGUGUUUGGAGAUGCAAGACAAGGAAAACAAAUACAAACAUGCACAUGGCGAUAUAUUGAGUCCAGAAAAAUUAUUGAGUUCAUUUUAUUUAUUGUUGUUUGAUUGAAUGAUUUAUUGAUUAUCAUCCCAGGCCUACAAAAGACGGACCCACAAUAAAGCCAGGUUAACAGUGGUAAACAUGAGGCAUAAAAUCAGAUCAGAAACAGAAGACCUACUUGUUUGUUAGUCGCAACAAUCUAAACAUUUGAAAAGUCCUGCUUAACAUACCACAGUAAAACUGAAAGUAGAAGAGGUGCCUACAAAUUUCCACUAUCAGGGACAAACUUUGUGAAAUUAGCAGCCAACAAUAUUAAGUUAGACAGACACCUCAUUAUCAUCCAUGUUUGUUUACUAUACAGGCAUGUUUUACGGUUUCAAUAAUCUUUUAAUGUUGGCCAGGCUUACUUACCUCUUCAGCUUUCAAGGUCAGAAGAGGCCAUCGCAUUAAGCAGCAAAAGAUAUUAAGAGAAAAUCUCCAAAACCUUAACAGCUGGAGUCAUUUCAGUGUUGAUUGUGUUUGAAAUUAUUGCUUUCUUUGAUUAAAACACUGCAAAUACAGCUGUGCCCCCAGCUGGCUCCUGCAAGUGCCAAACUUGUAUACAUUCAAUACAACACAUGAAGCCAAGAAGAGCAAUACUGUGGAGAAGUGUGCACAAGACUGCAGAGUGUGCUAUUGCGUUGCGAUGUGUGUGUUGAUGGAGGCAAUAACUAUUUAAUUAAAUUUACACCAGUUAAACCUGGUAAUUCAAGCAAACGGGGAGGGGGAGGGGCAUGGUAUUAAUAGAAAUGAUCACAUGAGGCAGCUGAACUAUGAUUUGAUCCCAUUGGAGUCACUAAUACAUAUGAGUUCCAUCAUCGUGUAAGUUUCUCUCGAUCACUCCUGCAGAUGUUUUUCUGUUGUAGUCCUGCCUGCUUUCCAGAUGCUUCAUCUCCCUCUCUCCCCUCUUUAAACCCUCUCAGUCUCAGCAGAUGACUGUCUAACAUUAGUCUGGUUCUACUCGAGGUUUCUGCCUGUUAAAGGAAGUUCUUCCUCUUCACUGUAACUUGAUGAAUGUUGUGAAGCUUUACAUUUAUGUGGUUGAAGGUGGGGUGGAAAGGGGUCUGAUCCAUAGACUGUAUAUAGAAUGGACGCCGUCUGCCUCCUCGCUGGGUGAAGCCACCCCUAGAACAGCACCCUCUGGUGACGGGCUGCAGUAUAGGUCAUAAAUCCUGCCUUCUCCAGCCAUCCCUAUAGAGCUGUGGGCAAACUUUAGAAAUUUAUUACACAAAAUAUACAUUUUUCUCCCCCUGCUUGCGAUGUUGACAUGUAGUUACAGUGAGACUGGUUUUUCUGCUCAGGUCCUCUUUUUUCUGUGCAGCUCUACUUUUAAAAGUUAUCAGGGGGUUCAUGUCCUCUAUGAUUGACACUUGAUACAGCAUAUGGUUGUACAAAGAUUGCAUAGCUUACCUGGGGGAUAUGCUGUUUGAGCCGAGCGUCAUCACAGCAACUCUCAGAGACUCUUCCGCCAAAUGCAAACAAUGCAACUGCGCAAGUGGUGGAGUGCGUACAACGUUACUGAGCAAUGUUGGUUUCAGGCAGUGUUGUUUUUGGAAGGAAUUUUAGAUUUAGUUUUAGUCUUAGUCAUUUUGACAAAAUGCUUCUUCGUUUUAGUCCCAUUUUAGUCAUUUCUAUCCUUGAUGGUUUUAGUCUAGUUUUAGUCGAUGAAAAGGUGCCUUUUGAGGUUUGUGGUGUUCUUUCCCGACAGUUUGAAGCCGCAGCGUGAGGAAGCUGUGGCUCCACAACUGUCUUCUGUCUCGUCUCCCCGUCCCCGUAUAAGACAUUGUGUUUUAUUGUCACUUGGACUGUAUCUGAAGUAGGACCAUAAAUCAUCCCUCUUUUUUUGGCCAACGGGCACCGCUGCUGUGCCUGCCGCCAUGGUGUGUGUGUGUGUGUGCGCGCCUCGUCCACCUGCCGCUCUGUGUAUGUGUAUGAGUGUGUGCGCGCAAAUGUGCGCGAGCGAGGCUUUUGGUGCGUGUGUGAUGGGGGCGUGACUGUUAGGACAAAAAAAAGCAUGUUUUGAAACUUUGUUCGUCCACCUAAUAACAAUUUAGUCUCGUCUCGUUCUCGUCUGACGAAAAUGAAUACAAUUUUCGUCACAUUUUAGUCUUUACAGAGCUUUGGUGACGUUCGUCUUAGUCUCAUUUUCGUCAAGGAAAAAAAGGGGUCUGACGUCGUCAUUUAAGUUGGUUUCAGGAAGUGGAGAAAAAACCUGGAAAAACAGAGAGCUUUUAGGCUUCAAAGUUGUCCAUGGUAUAUACAGUCUAUGGUCUGAUCUCACAGUACUUUGGGUCUUUCGAAACAGAAUCAUGUCAAUACCACCUUUUUUUGUUAAGCCUCUUGGGAUAACACUUGUGUAUUGGAGCUUGAUUGAUUGUUUGAUUGAGAUUUGAUUGAAAUGAAACUUCUCAUUUUUCUACAGUCUUUGCUCGCUGAACCGGGAAACUGAUGGUGGGGCAUGAGGAGUCGAAACAUGCAAUCAACACCAGAUGUAGG
Molecule: non-coding RNA, 46382 nt
Organism: Xyrichtys novacula (pearly razorfish)
Lineage: Eukaryota; Metazoa; Chordata; Actinopteri; Labriformes; Labridae
Source: the annotation of a GenBank genome assembly